Molecule: long non-coding RNA, 54834 nt
Filed under: Capsicum annuum
Lineage: Eukaryota; Viridiplantae; Streptophyta; Magnoliopsida; Solanales; Solanaceae
Description: long non-coding RNA (CANN_LNC001851)
Source: RNAcentral
GCUUUUACUCUUUUUUCCUCCCUCUCCUCUGCUGACAGUUUCACUUCGCCUUCCUCGUUAGUCACAUUAGCUUCCUGUUCUUCUCUUUCCCCUCGCUCAAACUCUUCCUGACAUUUGUUUAGAAGUAACCUCUUAAAAGUGAUUUUUUCUUUGUCUACACUCAGAUCAGGCAACUCGGCUGCUAGGUGCUGACAAAAGUUGGCAUACAUCUCACAAAAAGUUGGCUCCAUCAAAGCUUUAUCAAAUAUCUGAGAGAUUACACCAUUGAGUGUCACAACAUUGUCAAUAUUGACUUCUUUCACUUGCUGGAAUAAUUUUUCAAAGUUCUGUGGAGUUAGCUUAUUUAAGAUAGCCUUCAGCUGUCUCUGCUUGGCUUGUUCCUCGUCUGUUACUUUACCUACUUCAUACUUUAUUUCAGCUUUGUGCAUAAUCUGUGCAGGUGUCUGAGGAGAUGGCAUUAAACCCUUUUGGAAAGCAGUUCCACGCUGCCACCUGUCCGCAUCUACUCCAUUUCUCAAGGCUCCUCCAUGAGGACCCAUGGAUUGCAUUGGUCCAGCUAGUAUACCCCCAACAAACUGACCCCCGGUAUACUGGAUGGGCAUGGGAGCUCGAGGGUUCCGCAAAACACCAUAAUUGCCUCCUGGACCAGGUCGAUAUCCCAUAGCAUUUCCCCCAAAAGCAAGGUCUGGCUGAAAAUCCCUCCCAGGCAUAACAGGCCCAGAUGUUUUACUCCAUUUAUCUCCAUCCCCAAUGCCACUUCCGCGACGUUCACGAUGUCCACUAGAUGGCCUAUCAAUACCUCUUCCAGGACUAGGGCCCGGCUCACGGGAAACACUGGAGUUAGCAUUUAUCAAAAUAUCAGCUAUAUCAGGAGCAACAUUAAAACCCUCAGGAAUAUCAAUGCAUUGCUCUGCAAAUUUAAGCAAGAAAUCUCUUGAAUAUUUCUUCAUAGUCACACCAUCACCAUCUUCACCAUCAACUUUCUUUCCAUGUCCUGGAGCAGCUUCUAGUUUAGGAGUAGAUGCAUCUGCAGCAUCCUCCCAAUCAUCUGGCUCUGCUUUAACCUCACUAACCUUCUUAGUUGAUAUAAGAUCUUCUAGAGGCACAUCGGCGGAUAGAGGCUUUGAGUUAUCGCUUUCACUGGUUUCGAUAGAUUGUGUAAGUUCUUCCUUUUUCUCUGGACCUUUAUACGCCAUAUAAAGAUCAGAAGUCGCACCAGCAGCAUCUGCCUUCUUAUAUAAGUCUUUUUUCUUCUUUUUCCCCCUAGCCACAGUAACCUUAGGCACAUUGGACUCCACCAAAGAUUUUUCCUUGACACCAGAUGACGACUUAGAAACUAAACCGGUGUUAUUAGUUUCAGUACUUUCAUCUUCGCUCUUUGAAGUGGCCUCAUCAGAAUUCUUCACCAAAUUAGAGGCAAAUUCCUGACUUGCAACAACCGAUUUUGUAACAACAGGUUCUUCGGUGUCAGCAAUAUCUGGUUCCUGAUCAUCUUGAGCCGAUAGACCUAUUGCUGACGUGCACGCCUCAGUACUUGUGGAAUCCUGGUUAGAAGUGGAUGAUGUAAUGCUAUCAGCAAUGUUAUCAACUCCAGUUGGACAAGAUACAGAUUCAUACAUGUCUUCCGCUCCAAUUUCUGGUCGACCAUUCUCAAUGUUGACAUUUGUUGCUCUCUUUGGAGACCCCUCUUCAGUUAGGCCAGAAAACUCAACAGAUUCUACCGGAAGAGAUUCUGAAGAUGGCUUCAAGCUAUUAUUCUGGUCCUGCUUGCCAACUUCGGGCAAUGAUACAUCAUUUCUAUCCCCAGUUUUAAGUACUGGUUUGCCCGCUUCCUGAUUUUUGGAAUCCAAAGGUUCAGAUGAAUCUACCUUUUUGUGACUUUUCAAUUCAGUGGACUCUGAUGAAGAGAGACUUUCCUUGGUGUUCACAGCAGUGCGCGCUGAAGCAGCACUAUUGACCUCAACAGGUCUGGUUAGGGGAUACUGGAAAGGCUGACUUGAAACAGACGUCGAUUUCCCAAGAGCCUGCAAAGAACUUUCAGUCAUAAGUAGGACCAAGAUAGUACAGUGUUGCGACUAUUCAAAAAGAAUGCAAACAAAAUACCUUAUCCUGAAGAGUCAACUGUCCGCUAGUUACUUGUUUUUUCUGUUGAACUUCAGUGGAUUCCAGGACAACAAGUGUUUCACUUGCUGCAUCUACACUACUAUCUUUACUUAGAGAUGUUGAGGAUUCGAUAGGAGCCUGAGAGGUCAAUGCCAAUAUGCCAGCUGCUGGGCUCUUCCCUGAGAUAGAAUCAGCUCCUUUAGUAGAUUGUAUAUUUUCUACCGGCCUUGAAGCAGACUUUGAGCCAUCACCAGUCUUUGACUGUGUGGUGGAGCUCUGAUGUGAAGUGUCUGCGUCUUUUUGAGAGAGAGCUGAAUCUCCUCCAUGUGGCUUUGAGAGCCUCACAGGAUCUUUUCCAAAAGCAGCAGAACUGACAGAUUGUAAUUGUUCUUUUGCUGGAUGUGUUCCUGCAGCAGCCGGUUUCACUGUCACCUAAAGUUGAUUUGCAUGAACAAAAUAGCAUUACAUUGUGAGCAUACAUGAAAAUUUAAUUGCAGGCAAUAGAACUCUUAGGUACUGAUUUCAAUGAUAAUCAUAAAGAAAAAUGAGAUAGAAAAGUCCAUGCAGGAUUGGGCCUUGACUAACCUGACUAAAAAGCCUUGGUGGCUGAGAACUCUGACUGUUACCAAGAGGAAGAGAAUUUGGAGCUUGGAAGAAAACGGAACUGGAAUUAUAAGAGUUAGUAUAAUAGUUAGGAUGACCGGGAGGAUAUGGCGCAAUAGGCUGUGAUUGAGGUGGCAUAUUAGGGUGUGACCUCGAACCAGGAGUCCCAUCAAGCCUCAAUUCUUCAUGAGUAUCCGGAUGAGUUAUCUUCACAGUUUUACGCUGACCUGGAAACUUCCCUGCCUGCUGCGGAGAAAACUGUGACUGCAUAUUCAUUGCCAUGUUGCCCAACUGCGGAGGGAUCUGCGGCCCCAUUCCUGAUGAAAAAUUCAGGCCCUGCCCCUGAUGCAUCAUGCCUUGAGACUGCAUUGGGUGGGGUUGAAGACCUGAGACAAACAUUGGCUGCUGCAUCGGCGGAUUGCCAAUAGGCAAAUGCAUCGGCAUUGGUAAUGACGUAGCAGACAUCGAGUGGGAUGGAAUAUGUGGUCCAGGUCCACCAAAUGGAACAGGAACUUGUGGUGGCUGGUGAUAUGGAAUUGCCAUGUGCAUUCCAGGCAUGGGAUGUGUAGAAGGCUUUUGUGUUUGAGUAACAGGGGGCGGAGCUGAAAUUUGUACAUCUCUUUUGGGCUUGCUGGCCACCCCAUGAGCCUCGCUAGGAUUAGGUUGAUCAAGCGGUCCUGCAUCCUUUCUUGGCAUAGGCUGCUUGGAAGUGGAUGGAUUUGGCAAUGAAGGAAUAGCUCUUGAAGUGUCACCGCGAGCCUGUCAAAUAAAUGGAGAAGGAAUCAGAGCCAUAAGCUACUCAGCAGCCCAUGACUAAGAUUAUUCCCGUGGGCGAGAAUAACAUCACAACAUUCCAACAAAAACAAAGAAGCUAGAUGACAAGCUCCAUUAAUCAGAUCAGGAAUCAGAAAAUUCACAAUAAGACAAAUGAAGAAUAAAUGAAAACCUGGGCUCUUUUCUGCUCGUCCAGAUUUGGUGGAGCUGAGCUUGUUCGCGCAGGUAUCUAUACACAUUGUAAAAGCAAAUACGUUCCGUUAUUAAGAUGCAAGUUUUCAAAUUAACCACACACAAGAGAACACCAUACGUGGUAGAGUCUAGAGAUACCUGCAGUACACUCAUGACACCGGGACUUAUGGAUCCAAAUUGAAGUGGAAAUGACCUAGAUGCAUCUCCUGGGUCUAGAAAAUUAGAAAGUAAUAUCAUUCAAUAGUUGGAACUGCAACUAUAACAGAGAUAGAAUACAUAAGAAGUACCAAUAUUACUACCCGCUAUCCCCCGCCCCAAAAAAGAAGUACAAGUAGAUAUAGAAAGACUAAGAAAGAUACUCUUUGCAGGAGUGACAGGCGCAGUCGACUCAGAUGUCGGAGCGACAACAUUAGAAGUUGGAGCUCUUGGCACUGCUCGCGUAACCUUCUGAGUCGAAGCAUCAGUUGGCUUAACAGUAGCAUUUGGUAGAGGUGCAGCAUGUGCACUAGCAACAGAUACAUCUGAUGCUCCUGCAACAACAUAAAGUCAACUACAUUACUUAACUGAAGCUGAAAUAAAACAAAAACACCAAUAAUACAACAUGUUACACCACAUUAUACAAAAUCAUCACAAAUUCGUAAACUUCAAAACCUACAUAACCCAUCUCAGCGUAAUACACACGCAAAAAGAGUACCGUCGAUUAACAUACCGCGCAACGGUUGUUGCUGAUGAGCACCAUUCUGAUGAGAAUCCGACCCAACACUCGCAACUGCAACUGCAACUGCACCAGCGCCACUUACCCUAGGUUGCCCUCCUUGAGCAUUAUUGUACUUCUUGUUGAAACUAAAAAAUCAACCAAACAACAAUGAAUAUCCAACCAAAACCCUAAUUUCAUAGAAUAACCCUUAAACAGCAAGCAAAAAAACUCACCUUCUAUUAGAAGUCAAAGAUGGAUUACCGGAGGUGGAAGACGAAACAGGAGGAGGGGCGGCACCUCCACCACCACCACCACCACCACUUCCUCUCCCGCCGCCGCGGUGCUGAUUAUAGCUACCGGAUCGGCCUCCGGCUCUCCUAUACUGUGACGACGACUCGCGCGUAUCAGCCCUUGAUUGAUUAUGGGACAUAUAUCCAAACCCUCAAAAUCCGCUUUUGCUCUAUAAUAUGUUCCAAUCAAUAUCCUACAGAUCCACCAAAUCAAUCCAAAGAACCAAAACAAUAAAAAUCAAAACUUUCAUCAAAAAAAAAAAAAAAAAAAUCCCCAAUAACAAAAUCAAACAAACCCACUUCAAUCAACAAACCCGAUUCACGAAAUUCUCACCCGACCCGACCCACACACUUAACAUAACAAACCCUAGAAACAGUGCGUACUAAUUACCUGAAAAUGGGAAGUGAUGAAAUUAGGGUUUCAAUGAGAGUGGCGAUUGGUGGACACCAUGAGCAACAGGAGAAGAAGAAUUGAAUGAGAGAAAAAGAGAAAAGGGAUGCGUGUUGUAUUGUGAGCGUCUGUUUAUGUGUGUGUGUGUGUGUUGUUGGUUAAGGGAAAAAUAUGUUUUAUGUUUAUUAGAGAGAGAGAGAAUCUACUCAUAUAAAUCAAUUAUUUAUGACUAAUAAUAUAUACACACUAACCAUUGAGUAAAAUAUGUAACCAAAAAUGGAAUAUUUAUAUAAAUCUGUUUUUUUCCUACUUCUUUUGGUAACAAUAACAAAAUUAGAUUUUGACCCAAAUAGAGUGAAAUUGGGAUGAAUAUAUAUAUCACAGAAAAAAUAUUUACUUACGCUCGAUAUUUAUGACUAAUAUAUAUACACACUAACCAUUGAGAAAAAUAUGUAACCAAAAAUGGAAUAUUUAUAUAAAUCUUUUUUUUUCCUACUUCUUUUGGUAACAAUAACAAAAUUAGAUUUUGACCCAAAUAGGAUGAAAUUGGGAUGAAUAUAUAUAUCACAGGAAAAAUAUUUACUUACGCUCGAUAUUUAUACUAAGCAACUAAAUUUUUCUUCGAAAAUAAUAUUUUUAUCUUCAUAAGAUAGAGAUAAGAUUGUGUACUGAUCCAAAGGGGGUGAAAUUAGUGAAAAUAUAUAUCGCGCAAUAUAGAAAAAUAUUUACUUAGAGAUGAUACAUAUGUUAAGCAACUCAGUUUUUUUCGAAAACACUAUUUUUAUGUUCACAAGAAAAGGUAAAGUUGUGUAUUGAUCCAAGUAGGGUGAAAUUGGAGAAAAUAUAUAUCACGCGAUAUAGAAAAAUAUUUACUUAGAGAUAUGUUAAGCAACUCAGUUUUUUGCGGAACCAAUAUUUUUGUGUUCAUACGAAAGAGAUAAGGUUUGUGUAUUGACCUAAGUAGGAUGAAAGUGGAAAGAAUAUUUAUCACACACUAUAGGAAAAUAUUUACUUACACGCAAUAUUUAUAUUAAGUAGCUGAGUUUUUCUUUUAAAAAUAGCAUUAUUAUCUUAAUAAGAUAGAAAUAAGGUUGUGUAUUGACAUAAUUAUGGUGAAAUUGGGAAAAUACUUAUCAUACAGUACAAUAAAAAUAUUUAUUUACAUACGAUAUUUAUAUUAAUAACUUUUCUUUCGAAAACUAACAUUUCUAUCUUUAUAAGGUAGCGAUAAAAUUGUGUACACAUCACUUUCGCAAUCUCACUUAUGUAAUUAUAAUUGAUAGGUUAUUAUUUGUUAUUAGGAGGGUGAAAUCAAAAAAACAUUUGUAACACAAUAUAGGAAAAAUAUUUACUCAUAGGCAAUAUUUAUAUUGGAUGGACCUAAGUAGGGUGGAAUUGGGAAAAAUACUUAUCACACAGUACGAGAAAAAAAUUUAAUUACACGCAAUAUUUAUAUUAAGUAGCUAAUUUUCUUCCAAAAACAACAUUUUUAUCUUCAGAAGAUAGAGAUAAUAUUGUAUGCACGUCACUUUUUAAAUAUUUUACUUGUGAAAUUAUACUUAAUAUAUUAUUAUUUAUUGAUAAGUUAAAAUUGAUAAAAUUACUUAUCACGUAGUAUAAGAAAAUAAUUUACUCAACAAGCGACAAUCAUAUUAGAUUGACCUAAAUAGGAUGAAAUUGAGAAAACUAUUUAUCACACUACAUAAGAAAAAUAUAAACUUACAUUUGAUAUUUAUAUUAAGUAACUAGAUUUUUCUUUUGACAUCUUUAUUUUCAUAAGAUAAAGAGAAGAUUGCGUAUAUAUCACUAUCCUAAGACCUCACUUGUAAAAAUAUACGAAUUAGUUAUUAUUAUUUGUUUGUUAGCUAAUUCUCUUUCAACAAGUGUCGUGAAAAAAGUAACAUGUGUUACCACUAAUAGUAAUUUGUCCAAUGCGUUAUUUAAUUAAAAUUUAGGAUGACAGAAAAAGAAGAUAAAGGAAACUAUAGAAAGGCAAAAGUUACAAAAUGUCCUUCUCUUGUGUGGUUUAUCAUGGUAAAGAAGUUAUUUUACUCACACUAGUUUGUAUUAAGUAGAUGAAUUUUUCUUUUGAAAACAAUAUAUAUUUUCAUAAGCUUAUUUCCCCCCCCCCCCCCCAACCAUCCAAUAAAAUUAAAAUUAUUUCGUAAAAUAGAAAUUGUGUAUAUGAAAUACUUUCAAAACCUCACUUAUGAGAUUAUGCGAGAUAUAUUAUUAUUUAUUUGUUAACUGAUUUUUCUUGUCAUACCUAUUAUAAAAAAUGUGACACGAAUUUCCACUUAGUAAUAAUUUGUCUAAAGUGAUAUUUAAUUAAAAAUUAGAAUGAAAAAUAAAAGAACAGGGUAAACAACAGAAAAAUAAAAAUCACAAAAGUUCCUUUUCUUAUUUGAUUAUCACGGCAUAGAAAAAUAUUUACUCAGACAAGAUAUUUAUUGAAAUAAUAGUCUGAAAAAUAUUUGUACUUUGCCUAAAUUUACAGUUGCGCAUACUGAACUUUACGGAAUCCUAUUACCCCUUGAAUUAUUUUAAAAUGAAUUUAUUACACCCUUAAAGGCUUAUGUGGCAAUGAGAGUGAGUAACUCACUUUCUUUGAGAGAGUGAGUCAUCUGAAAAUAUUUAAAAUAAAAAAUACAUUUUUUAAAUAUAAAUAUAACCACCAUCCAACCAAUGCAGCUGUACAACCACCACCAUAUCCAUCAAUUGUCCACUUCUUCAUUUUCCUCCAUUUUUUCCAUCUCAUUUUCAAUCGAAUUUCUUUGAUCAAUUUGAUUUACAAUCACCCGAACAUCAUCUCCAAUCAAAUUAAUCAAAAAAUUGCAAUUGGAUGAAUUAUGUUCAUUUUCUAAAGGGACCUUUGACUUACCAGCAUUUCCAACAUCAUUUUCGAUUAAAAUUUGCUGGGAAUUUUGAAUCAAAGCCGACAAAUUAUCAAUUUCCUUUAAAUUCACCGAAUUAGGGCUAAAAUUCUUAAAUUUAAAAUUGAAAUCAAUGGGAAUUGUAAUAAUUGGGGCUUUUGCCAUAGAAUUAUUCUCUGCAUCCCCAACUAUCAAUUUACGUUGAGAAUUUGCAAUUUCAUCGGAACCUUGCAAGUCAUCGAAAUUUUGAGCUUUUCCGACAAUGUUGACAGUAUUACCAGUGUUAUUUUUGCCAGAGAUUCGAUGGGUAUGCGCGGAAUGAUCUCCAUUAUUAAUUUCUACACUUGCAUGCUCUCGAAUUUAUGCUGAAGAUAGUCGAAUUUCAAAUCGGACCACUAGCGAUGUUGUCGCACCAAUUUCCAAUUCACCACUUGUAAUGGCCUCAACCGACUCACUGGAAUCAUUUGGAAUUUGAUUUGUAGGAUAAUAAUGGAGAAGAAAUUAAAUGAAAAAUGAUUUGUAAUAUAAAAUACAUGUGUAAAUAUGAGAUUGGCGCGUGUAUUACACCUUUUACUCCAAAAUUGGGUAUAGCAUUUCGGGGGAAGAGAAGGAAUUAAUUCCAUUUUUAAAUAGUUCAGGGUAAUAGGAUCCCCGCAAAGUUCAGUAUGCACAACUACAAAUUUAGGCAAAGUAUAGGUAUUUUUCAUACUAUUAUCCCAUAUUUAAUUAGUAGGUGUUUGGUCAUGAAAAAAAAAUUAGAGUUGAAGUUUAAGCUGGAAUUUAGAGUUGUUUUUUACCAUGAAUAUAAAUUGGAGUUGCUUUUGACUUUUUGUGAGAGAAGUCAAAGUGAAAAAAGUGAAAACAGGUUAACUUAGUUUCACUUUUUCAUAUACAAUUUCAAAAUGUAUUUAAAAUUCUUAUGGCCAAACAUUACAAUUUUCACUAAAGUAAACUAAUUUUCUAAAAAAAGUAGAAAAUUCUCAUGGCUAAAUACACUCUUAUAUUAAGUAGCUUAUUUUAUUUUUAUUUUGUGUAAAUAUUAUUCUUAUCUUCAUAAGACAGGGGUUGGGGUGUUCAUGACUUGAUUUGAAUCAAUUUUUGACUAAAAUCAAAGCCAAAUCUAUUUAGUUAGUUUUAAAUUUUAUAAAUUCAAACCAAAUAAAAUAAAAAAUCAUUGGUUUGAUUCUUGUCGAAUUUAUUUGAUGUAGUUUUUUUUUUUAAUAAUUAGUUAACAAUAAAUUGAUAACAACAAAUUAAUGAAGACGUGGCAUAAUUAUUUCAAAUGAGCAUUAUGAAUCAAUAAAUUUCUCUCUGCUAUCUUAAGAUGGAUGUAUAUGAGUACUCUCCUAUUGUCAUUCACACCAUUUCACAGUUUUUUUUUUUCAAGUUUAAAUUGCAUAACUGUAAAGGUUACACCACUUCACAUAUAUAACAUUAGCAAAAGCAGUACCUCUAUCGCGACCUUGUUACUUUAUAUGUUACAAGACUGGUCCCAAAUUCUAGUUGGUUGCACAGAUCCUUCGUUUUUCUUAUUCAAAAUAAAAUUCGUUAAAAAUUUAAGUGAUAAGUCAUUGAAGGAUAGAUGAAUGUUUCGAUAAAGAAAAUUAGAAAGCCACAAUAUAUCACACCACAUAUAGACAAUUAGACUUAUAAUGAUUGGUAUAAUCAUAUUUUUUAGAAAUAUAAUUUAAAAGUUUCAUAGUGCAUGUGAAGAAAGUGGGUUAAAAUCAAAUUAAUGAUUAAAACGCAUAAAAUAUUUAUAAUUAUUUAUUAAAAAAUACUAUCAUAUACUCAAAUGAUUAUAAAAUUAUAUAUGUAAAUUUAUCAAGUUUAUUCAGUAUUUUAUUUUACUUUCUUAGUAAAAUCAAACUAAAAUCAAAUUUUGUUGAUUUGUAAAAUUUAAAAUCAAAUCACAUGUCAUUUUUUUUAAUCAAUUUAAUUUAUUUACUUUGUGAUUUGAUUUAAUGUUUUAUCAAAUCAUGUACACCCGUAGACAUAGGUAAGAUUGUGCGCACAUCGUUAUUCUAAGACAUUAAUUAUAAAAUUGCAGAUGAAAUAUAAUAUUAUUUGUUUCUUAUUUAAUUUUUAUUUCAAUAGGUAUCGUGAAAAUUGUAAUCGAUUAACUAAUAAUAAUAAUUUGUCUAGUGAGUUCUAUGAUUAUUCAUGUCUUAGUUGAAUUCUUUCAUUGUGUGCGGUGAAAAUUGUGACAUGUGUUACUAUUAAUUAUAGUUUUCUAAUGAAUUAUAUCUUAUUAUUUGUUUGUUAGUUGAUUUUUCUUUCAUUUAUGUGUCAUAAAAAUUGUGACAUGUGUUACAAUUAAUGAUAAUUUGUCUAACACAUUGUUUAUUUUAAAAUUGAAAUGACAAAAGAAAAGGAAAAGCAUAGAGAAAGGUUAAAAAAAAAAGAAUUUUUUCUUCCUUAUUUGACUUAUUACGGCAGAGUAAAACAUUUAUUCACACUUAAUAUUUAUAUUAAUUUUUUGACACGUGCAUUGCACAUUUAUUAUUUAUAUCGUUGUACUUGUACACCUAUACUUUAGAGGUUCUACCUUUUCUUUCGUGGUAAAAACUUAAUCUAAAUCAACUGUUGUAAGGUGUUUUUGAUAUUUAAUACUGUUAUUUGUUGUUAUCAUUUGUACAUCAUAAAUACAAGUUUUAACAACCUAAUUUCACUUAUUUAAUAACCUCACCAUUUCAGUUUAUUGUAUAGUUAGAGUUCCAAUUUCGUAAGAAUAUUUUUGUAUUUGAAUUAGAAUGAAUAAGACAACUUAUUUAUGUUAUUAUUAUCUUUUCUUUAUUCCUAUAAAAGUCAAUUAGCAAAAGAUUUUGGUUCUGAAAUCUUCGAUUUCACCAAGAUAAACAUAGUGUUUUUAAUCUUUCGGUAAACUUGUUUUUAGCUUUUCCGAUCUCAUAUCUCACAUUUGGAAGUUCUCUUGCUUGGCCGAAACUUUUUUACGAUAGCUUUGUGAUAACAUUUUGAUUUCUUGAUGGUGUUUUCACUAGAAUUUUAAAAUAUCAAAUUUAAAUAUACAUUAGUCAGGAUAAGAGUAAAAGAUGUCAAUCGAAAGGUUUGGAUUUCUCAAAUAAAAUUAAUGGAGAAAAUUGACAAAUAUUAAUAUAGUUUAAACUAUACAACAAUGCAGGGAGUCGAUAAAACACUUAUAGAUAUUCUUAAAUUUUUAAAAUACUUCACAUUAGUAUAAAUUUCAGAUAAAAUAUUCGUGCUUUAAAAAAGAUAUUAUUUGACCCGACCGAUUGAGUUGCAAUUCCUUCCCCACUUUGAAUUGAAAAGUUAAAGCGAACGAUUUAAAUCCAUUAUUUCUAUAGUUCGCCUACAAAUAGAACUAAUUGAAUUGAAAAAGUGGUCAUAAUUUAUUAGUUCAAUUUAGUUAAUUUUAAAAUUAAAACAAACAAAAUAAUAUUAAUUUUUAAAAUUUAAAAUCAAAUCAAUGUCGAUCUUUUUUAUUUGUUUUGAUUAAAUUUCAGAUUUCAUUUUAUUUUUUAUCAAAUUGUGAACAUCCAUAGAUAGAGGUAAAAUUGCAUCACAUGCCUAAGAGUAAGACAUCACAUGUAAAAUUAUACAAAAUAUAUUAUUAUUAUUAUUUAUAUUUUAGUUGAUUAUUUUUAAAAUUCAUAUCGUAAAAAUUGUAACAUAAUUAAUCACUAAUAAUAAUUUGUCUUGCGAGUUAUAUGGAAUUAUUUAUUUCUUAGCUAGUUUCUUUCAAUAGGUGUCGUAAAAAUUAUGACACGUGUUACUACUACUGAUAGUUUGUCUAUUAAAUUGUAUCUUAAUAUUUAUUUGUUAGCUGAUUUUUCUUUUAAUUAUGUGUCGUGAAAAUUGUGACAUGCCUUACCACUAAUAAUAGUUUGUCCAGCGAGUUAUUUGUUAAAAAUUUGAAAUGGAAAAAAAAAGCAUAGAGAAAAUUAAAAAAAGAAAUUAGAAUAUUUCUUUCUUUAUUUGAUUUAUUACGAGAGAAAAAUAUUUACUCAUACUUCUAUAUUAUUUUUUUUGACAAAUGCGUUGCACGUAUAUGUCAAGUCAUAUUGCAUGUUGAUUAUUUGCAUCGCUGCACUUGUACACCUAUGCUCUUGAGGUUGUACUUCUCUUUGAUUGUAAAGAAAUCAAGGCUUAAUUAACUGUUUUAAGAUGUUUUUGAUAUUUAAUAGUGUUAUCUGUUGUCAUAUGUAUUCUUUGAAUACAAAUUUGAACAAUCUAAUUUAACUUAUUUUAAUAACCUCAAUAUGUUACCUAUUUCAAUUUAUUGUACAGUUAGAUUAACUAAUUCAUAACGGCAUAUUUUUUGCUUGAACCAAAAUGAUAAAAGAUAAUUUUAUUUAUAUUAGUGUAACCUUUUAUUUUUUCUAUAAAGGCCAAUUCACAAAAAGUUUACCUCUCACGUUUUUUUUUUUUUUUUUUUUUUAAACCACUCGGUGUCCGGUACCUGCUUUGUAGGAGUUUGAUUAUGUUUGAAUUCGCCCCGCGUCGGGUCCCAUUUGAGGAAGCUUCCAACAAAGUGUUUGUCCAUACCCAGGGUCAAACCCUCGACCUCUGGGUAAGUUGGGACAGCCCCUUUCCGCUGCACUACCACUGCUGUUGGUCACGUUUUUAGUUUCAUCAAGAAGAACUUAGUGCUUUUGAUCUUUCUCCGCUCUUGUUUUUAUCUUCUUUGAUCUCACAUUUGUAAGUUUUUUUGGUCUUGUCGAAACUAUUUUAAAAAUGGCUUUGUGAUAUUAUUUGAAGUCUUUAUGGUGUUUUAAUUCGAGUUUUAAAAUGUCAAAAUUAAAAUAUAAAUUACCUAGGAUAAGAGUGAAAAAUGCCAAAAUGAAGGGUUAAUUAAUUUUUCAAAUAAAAUUGAUAAAUAUUUAUGUGGUUUUACCUAUACAGCAAAGCAAAGAAGUAAUGAAAUACUUAUAAAUAUUCUUAAAUUUUAAAAUACUCUACCAUUAUUCUAAAGUCCAAAGUUUAAAUUUAUGUUUUGAAAAAGAUUUGAUAUGGUCUGACUCAUUUCGUUGCAAUUCCUUCCCCACUAUGAACUGAGAAGUUGGAGCUAACAUUUUAAGAUAUUUAUUUGUAUAGUUCUCCUCUCAGUCGGAGGAACUGAAAAGUGGUCAUAAUUCAUCAAUUUGAUUUUUUCAGUAAUAUUAAAAUUAAAUCAGAUUAAUUAUGGUCGAUUUUUAAAAUUUAAAAUCAAAUUAAAUGUUAAUUUUUUUAAUUAUUUUGAUUUGAUUUUUAACCAAAUCAUGAAUACAAAGGUAAAAUUAUCUGCACAUUAUCCGUCUAAGAUAUCACUUGUGAAAUUACACAAAUAUAUUAUUAUUUAUUUUUAGUUUAUUUUUCUUUCAAUAUCGUGAAAAUUGGGACAUUGUGCCAUGUGUCACUACUAAUAGUAAUUUGUGUAAUGAAUUACUAUAUAUUAAGUAUUAUUUAUUUGUUGGCUGAUUUUUCUUUCAAUUACGUGUCGUGAAAGUUGUGACAUGCAUCACCACUAUAAAUAGUUGGUCUAAAUGAGGUAUUUAUUUAAUAACGGGAAUUAAAAAACAAAACAAGCUAGGAAAGCAUAGAGAAAGAAAAAAUUAGAAGUUUUCAUUGUUUAUUUAGUUUAUUACGAUAGAUAAAAAUAUUUACUCACACUUAAUAUUUGUAUUAAUUUUUUGAUGAAUACACAUGCACGUCAAGUCGUCAUAUUGUAUAUAAUUUGGUAAACAAUAUAAAUAUUUUUAAAACAAAAAUUUGGGUUAAUAAUAAUACAUUAAAAUUUGGGUUGUUCCAAAUCAAACUCGAAUCAAGGAAAAUAAUAUUGAUUUAACGUAUUCAGUAGUUAAUUUAAUAGUUCUGAUUUUAUUAGGUUAUUGAUUUCAUAACGUUCUAGAAUUAUUUCUUAUCAAGUCAUCCAAUAAUCUGAUAACAGCUGAGAAAAAUUUCUACAGAUUCAUUAUAUUUUAGUACUCAACUUAUUCAAUCAAUACAAAUUGGUUGGUUCAAUCCCUUUGUAUCAUGUUAUACUUACUAUUUCAUACUUUGCAGUUAAUCUUCUUAAUGUCAUAUGCAUUGUAAGUAAUACUUAUUCUAAACUAAUAGAUUAUAUUUAAUUUAAUGAAAUUUGAUUUUCAGCGUUCAAGUACAAAUUACUUGAUAAUUUUGAAGUAUCUUAAUAGAUUUCAUUUAUUACAUUGUCCUUAAAUAAUUUUUGAUUAAAAAAAAUUAUAUUUGUAGACUUAACGGUUAACACAAUAGUUAACUUACAACAAUCAAUAACCAAUUUACUAAUAUCCUAACAAUUCUUUAAUAAUUUAGUGUGUUUAUAAACAUAUGACCAAUUAAUCAAAUUAAUAAUCUUUAAAAUCGAACCGACCGAUACUGACGGUAGCAUCAAAAGGGUAGAUUUGUUAUUUAUUUGGUAGCUGAUUUUUCUUUCACUACGAGUUGUGAAAAAUGUGACAUGCAUCAUUAUUAGUAAUAGUUUGUCUAAUGGGUUAUUUAUCCCCACCCCCCAAAAAAUAAAAAAAUAUAUAGAGAAAGAGAAUGAAAACAAGACCAUAACAAUAACAUACCCAGUGUAUUCUCACAUAGUAGGGUUUAGGGAGAGUACAGUGUAUGCAGACCAUACCACUACCUCAGGUGAAGUAGAGAGGCUGUUUUCGAUAGACUCCCGACUUAUGAUCGAUAACAGUAUAACAAACACAGAACAUAAAUGCAUAUAAACUAGUAUAGUAUGCAAAAUAAGCUAACACUGCUAACCACAAGAUAAACUACAGGCACAAGAUAAUACUAACAACUAUCUAUCCGAAAUCAUAGACAUCUCUCAACAUCACGAAUAAGAAUCUUUAGACACAAAUAAAGAACGUUCCCUUACUGUUACCUACGCACUCACACCCCCUAAACCUCUAUCCUAACCCGCGUUCACCACACCUUCCUAUUAAGGAUCAUAUCAUUCGUAACCUAUAACUGCUCCAUAUCAUGUCAAAUUACCUCCCUCCAAUAUUUCUUUGGCCUACCUCUACCCCGCCUAAAACCAUCCAUUGCCAGUGUCUCACACCUCCACACUGGAGUAUCAGAGUCCCUCUUCAUCACGUGCCCAAACCAACAUAACCUCACUUCUCGCAUCUUGUCCUCCACUGAAGCCACUCUCACCUUCUCUCGAUUAAUCUCAUUCCUCAGUCUACCUUUCCUGGUAUGGUCACACAUCCAUCGCAACAUCCUCAUCUCCGCCACCUUCAACUUUUAGAUGUAGGAGUUCUUAACUGGCCAACACUCUGCUUCAUACAACAUAGCCGGUCGGACUGUUACCCUGUAGAACUUACCUUUAAGCUUCGGGGGCACCUUCUUAUCACAUAAAACUCCUGAAGCGAGCCUCCAUUUCCACCAUUUUGCCUCAAUACGAUGCGUGACAUCCUCGUCAAUCUCACCAUUACCCUGAAUCAUAGACCCUAGAUACUUGAAACUCUCCCUCUUCUGAAUGGCCUGAGAGUCCAGCUUCACAACCACGUCAGCCUCCUGCGACACAUCACUAAACUUACACUCCAAGUACUCCGCCUUGGUAACGCUCAAUCGAAAUCCUUUAGACUUAAGGGUUUGUCUCCAAAUCUCCAACUUAUCAUUAAAUCUUUUCCGAGUCUCGUCAAUCAGUACCACAUCAUUAAUAAAUAACAUACACCAAGGCACCUCCUCUUGAAUAUGUCGCGUCAAAACAUCCAUCACCAAGGUUAAUAAAAAGGGGCUAAGAGUCGAUCCCUGGUGCAACUGUAGACACGUGAUUUUUAUCCUCCCCGAGUUUUAACCUAUUUUUCGGCAUCAAAUAUUUUUAUUUUGUCCAAUAGUUAUUUUAGCUUUUAUUUCAUUUUUAAUAGGUUUUAGUUAAAAAUAAAUAAAAAUAGUAAUAAACAAAGUUACAUUUUUGGGAUGUUAUUUUAUUUUAUUUUAUUUUUAUUUUUUGUUUCUAUAAUAAUACGAAAAUUCAAAAAAUAUAUUUUCUCUCUUUUUAAUUUUGAUAAAUAGGCUAGUAGUUUUAUUAUUCUCUUAAUAUUAAUUUUAGAUAUUAUAAAUUUUUCUUAUAUUUUCUUAUUCAGUUCCUUUCUAUUUACUUUUGUAAGUAUGGUUGUGAAUCUAAAGCAUGAACAAAGUCGCUUAUGUGAUUAUAUGCUACUUUGAGUUGUGAAUCAGUAUAUGUAAAGCAAGUUUUGUAUUACUAUGAUUUAAUACUUACUUAUCUUGUUAAGUGUCCCGUUUUAUUUGUGUGCAAUGUUUGCUUGGAAUUAGCAUAUAUUAAAUAGGUGAAUGGUUCAUAGGUUGGCACGGAUUUAGUUAUGCAGAUUUUUUUUAAAAAAAUUAAAAUAAUCCCUAACAUACUAAUUUUUUAAUGACAAAACAAUGGCUUAAUUAGACUCAAAUAAUAGAUAACCUGCAUGAAAAAUUGAUGUACAAGUUUGAGGCAUCAUAUUUGACGAGCAAUGUUUGAUUUGUUUUAUCUACUAUUUGCCCUUAGUUUCGUAUUAUUAACCUUAUUUUCUCAGAAAUAUAUUUUUGUUUCACAUAUUUAAACCAGAGGUUAGGCUUUUAGCAGGUAUAAGAUUGAGAGGGUUUCCAACAACUCGUGUUUUUGAUUCAAGAAAAUAGUGAACCUGUAAGUAAAGCCAAGAUUUGUUUAAAUUGGUGGUGUUUAUCUAUGCAAUUACGUGCUAAAUUUGUGUUAGGAUUUUGAAUGUAUUUUGAAGCAUAUAAAAUUUCACCUAGAAUCCUAUUAAAAUAUAGACAUAAGUUAAUAAGAUUUGAAUAUGUUCAUGUUUAAGUUUAGGCCAAACCCAUCGGUGGCCCCUAAACUUGGCACGAACUUUUACUUAGACACCUCAAGUGGACGUUGUUCACUUUUGACACCUCAAGUAGCCAUAAAGUGUGUCACUUUGACACAGUUUGCUGAAUCAGCAAAGAGAUUGUAUUAUACUCGCUUUUAGGCUCGUUUUAGGGUAUAUAAAAUAUAAAUAACCCAAUUAUAAAAGGACAUUUGACAUUUUUAUAAAAAUAAUUUUUAUAUAAUUAAUUUAAAGUAAAAAAGAAUUAAUAACCCCACCCCCCCCUUAUAUCAUCUUCCUAUUGCUGCCACCCCUACCCCAAAAUCGUCUUCUCCCACCCUCCCUCACCCCCAUCCAUUAAUUUUCCACCAUUUUUUUUCUUAAUACAAUUGAUUUUUAAUAAUUUGAAAGAAUACAGGUUUGUUCAGAUUGUAGAUUUCUUCUUCUUCUCUCUUUCAACCACUAAUUUUUCUUUUCUUAACACAUAUGUAUCCCUUUAUUUUCUUGUCUGGUUUUCGAGAAAAUGACAAAAAUGAUCCAUAUGUUGGAAUUUGAUGAGACUAUCAUGAUGUUUUUGAGAAAGUGAAAAAAAUGGCCCAUAUGUUGAGAAAAUGGCAAAAAUAAUUUUCGUCGAUGGAACAACAGUGUUUGCUAUUGUUGGCUUGGUAAAUUUGUGCUAUAUGUUUUGAAUUUGUUGAGAAGUGAAUUUGUUGUUGGUAAAAAUGGCUCCGAAGUGAAUUUGUGUUGACGGAGCUUCGGUGUUGUCUUGAUGGAGGUGCGGUUGUUGGCUUGGUUGGCGGUUGAGGGGAAUGGAGAAGAUGACUUUGGGGUUUGGGGAGUGAGGGUGGGGGAGGGGGAGGGUAAAUGGAGAAGAUGACGGGAGGGGGGGAGGUUGCCAUGUAGAGAAGAUGACUUGGGGUGGGGGUUGGUGGGGGGAUGGGUGGUGGUGGAGAAGAUGACUUUAGAGUUUGGGGGUGGUGGGGUGGGGUGAGGGUUGGGUUGUUUGCUAUAAAAUCAAAUAAUUUUAUAAUUAUUUUUAAAAAUGUCACGUGUCAAUAAUUAAUUGGUUCCUUUAAUUUAAUUGUGUGUGUAUAUAUUAAUAAGUUGUAUAAUUAUUAAUAAUCAUGUAUUUUGGCCUUAAUUGUGAAUAUAAAUAAUGAUGUGACAAUUUAAAUGUGUUGGCACAAAUCAAUUGGUCGUUUUGUCCACGUUGGCGGUGAGUGCAACACACACAAUGUGCUGAUUCAGCAAAAAGUGUCCAAGUGACACACUUUGUGUCUACUUGAGGUGUCAAAAGUGAACAACGUCCACUUGAGGUGCCUAAGUGAAAGUCCGUGCCAAGUUUGGGGGGCCAUCGAUGGGUUUGACCUUAAGUUUAUAUAUUCAUAUGGCAUUUAAAUGUUUCAUAGUGUUGUGACAUAUCUGUAUAAUCAUGAAGAGUUAUUGCACCAUUCAUAUUUUUGUAUGCUAUUAACGAGAAUAUGAAUGGUAUGGGUUACAAAAUUGUACAACAUUUGCUGCAUGCAUCAAGAAAAGAAAGGAGCAGAAAAUUCAUUUGUAAGGAAGCGAGAUGGGAUACGGAUUUAUUUCAAACUUCAUCGCAUAAAAGAAAAGAAAAGAGAGGAAAAAUCAACCGUAAGGGAGCGAAAUUGUAAAACAAUAAGUUAGGUUCUUAACCUCAAGAAAUUAAGAUUUAACACACAAGCGAAAGUUAACAAUGAAGUUGGAAAGCCCUGUUACCGACCAUUCGUUAUAAAAAAAUUUAACAUAACAUUUGAAGCCAAUCUAAUUGGGUUGGGUAGAUUCUAAACAUGUUAGGUGCUUAUUUAGAUCGAAAAAAAUAGGAAUGGUCCAAAUGCCUUAAAAGUGCGAGAAAUAUAUCAAACUCCGUGGUAUGGUCGGAAAGUACUGCUACCAGCAAACCACACAUUAAUAUAUUUAAAAUAACUAAAAGCAGGAUGUAAGUAACUUUUAGGCCAACAAAUGUUAUAUAUAUCUAAAGGAUUAAAUUAAGCCAAACAUAAGUAAUUAAAACGACCGUGCUAGAACCACAAGAUUCGAGGGGUGCCUCGUAUCUUUUCCUCGGUCAACAGAAUUUCUUACCCGGUCUUCUAUUUUCGCAGACUAAUAAAGAGUCAUUUUCUUUUGAUUAGAGAUUCAAUAAGGUGACUUGGAACACCAUAACUCAAUUCCAAGUGGCGACUCUGUAAAUAAAAUAAUCCAUAUUCAAAACCGUCUUUUUAAUUGGAAAAACCCUUCGACUCUUCGACCGACGAAAAAGGGGUGUGACAGCAACCCUAUCAAAAUUGAAAAGUGCUCCGAAUCUCCAUUUACUAUCCUCACAUGAGUCUUCGCGCCACCAUACAUGUCCUAAAUCGACCUAGUAUAUGCCACAGACACCCCUCUCGCCUCCAAUCACCUUUACAGAAUCUCCUUGGAAUGCCAUAUGUCUUCUCAAGAUCGAUAAACACCAUGUGCAAGUACUUCCUCUCCCAAAACCUUUUCACUAAUCUCCUCACAAGGUGAAUGGCCUUAGUAAUCGAGCGACCUGGCAUGAAACCCAACUGAUUCUCAGAGAUAGUCACGAUCCUUCUCAACCUCAAUUCUACCACCCUUUCCCAAACUUUCAUAGUAUGACUCAACAACUUAGUACCUCUAUAGUUGUUGCAACUCUAGAUGUCUCCCUUGUUCUUAUAUAAUGGAAUCAUCGUACUUCACCUCCACGCUCCAUGCAUCUUCGCCGCCUUAAAAAUGAUGUUAAAUAACCUAUCAACCACUCCAAACCUUCCUCGCUAGUGCUCUUCCAAAAAUUCACUGAAAUCUCGUCUGGCUCCGUCGCCUUACCCCGAUGCAUCCUGCGAAUAGCCCUCCUGACCUCCUCAACCUUGAUACAUCUACAAUAACCAUAAUCGCGACACUCCUUAGAUUUCUCCAAGUCCCCCAACACUAAACCUUUGUCCCUCUCCUCGUUCAAAAGUUUAUGAAAAUAGGACAAAAAAAAAGGUUAGAAAAGUAAAAAUUACAAAGCCGUCUUCUCUUAUUUGACUUAUUACAAUAGAGAAAAGUAUUUAAGAGGUGUUUGGAUUUAACUUUUCUAAGUGACUUGCAAGUUAUUUUCUUCGCUUUGAAAUAGUUGACCCUUGUUGACUUGAUACUUUCCUUAAGAAAAUAUUUAUUAGAGGUUUAUUUUACCAAAUUAGUGUUAUUAAUUAUGCUUUGAAAAUAUAAAUUUGAAUACAUACACUUUAUUUAGUCAUUUAAUGAUAAGGGUAGUAUUAGAAGAAUAUAAUAAAAUUCUCUUGAUUUCAUCAAAUGGACAACUAAAUUGAAACAAAUAUUUUUUGGGACAUUGUUAUCCCGGGAUAACUAAUACCGGAAUUAGUUAUCCCGGAAUUACCCAAAAUAACUUAUCCCAUAAUGUAUAUGGAAUAAGUUAUCCCAUCACUAUGGAAAAAAUGGUGGGAUAAGCUAUCCUACCAUGGCUUAAUCCCUCCAACCAAAUAAGGAAUUUAAGUGAUCUUUUAUUUUAUCCCGAGAUAGCUUAUUCGAUAUAUUAUUGUUUGUUUGUUAGCUGAAUUUUUCUUUCAACACCAGUUGUAAAAUAUGUGACAUCGGUUAUCAUUAAAUAAUAGGGUGAAAAUCAUUUUCACCCUCCAACUUUGAUUAAAAAAACAAACUCCUUCCUCAACAUUAAACAAUAACUAUACUUCCCCAUUUAUUCCAUGCAAUGUCUAUUUUGUCCUUAUAAUUUUAAUUAUAUAUUUAUGUAAUAUCUUUUUAUAUUAUAUGUAAUGAAUAUUUUUUUAACAUUGAUAUUUAUAACAUUUUAUUUAAGUUUAUUAACUUUAUACGCAAAUUAAUACGUUUUAUAAAUUUAUCACAAAAUUCAAUAGUAUUUUUNNNNNNNNNNNNNNNNNNNNNNNNNNNNNNNNNNNNNNNNNNNNNNNNNNNNNNNNNNNNNNNNNNNNNNNNNNNNNNNNNNNNNNNNNNNNNNNNNNNNNNNNNNNNNNNNNNNNNNNNNNNNNNNNNNNNNNNNNNNNNNNNNNNNNNNNNNNNNNNNNNNNNNNNNNNNNNNNNNNNNNNNNNNNNNNNNNNNNNNNNNNNUGGGUUAUUUUCAAACUUCCCCAACUUUCUUAAUCCAUAAUAAAGUAAUUGUCACCUCCACCUAAUAAUUAAGACUUGUGUCACCUACACCUCAUUUUAAAACUCUUUUGUCACCUGUGGCCCAUGUCUAUACUGUUACUUUAUAUAGUUAUUUAACACUAAAGGGUAGAAAAAAACAUAAUACAAUUCUCUUGAUUUCACAAAUUGAGCAGAUAAACUAAAAUAUUUAUUUUUAGCAUGAGGAUCCAGUGAUAAGAAACGGUAUUAUCUAUUGUCUAUAUCAAUAAAUAAGCUGUAAUUGCAAUUAAUAGAGUAUUACAUAUUUUAUAAUUUAUAUAAAUAAAUAUAAUCUUUAAAAUUUGACCUUAUUUUUAUUCGAGAAAAACAUCUAGUAUCCCCGAACUAUGGCCAAAUUUGCUACGACACACGUCAACUUCACGGGAGUCCUAUUACCCCUUAAACUAAAUUUUUGCGUAUUUUUGUUAAUUUUUUUAGCUAACGUGAUACCUUCUGUCAAUCAUUUUAGAUGGCGUGACACCUUUGAUAUGGGCUCCAUUUUAUGUAAUAAAGGUGCCACAUUAGCACAAAAAAUGAUAAAAAUGCGCUAAAUUUGAGUUCAGAGGAUAAUAGGACCCCUGUGAAGUUAGAGUGUGUCGUAACAACUUUGACCAUAGUUGGGGGUGGUACUAGAGGCUUAUCUCUUUCAUUUAUUGUUUGUAUUUUCUGCAUUGAAAUGUGUUUAUAAAAUUAGUAGUACGUAUUAUUUUUACUUCUUAAAAUAAAUAUUAUAGUUUUGAUUAUUAUUAAUAAAACUAAUUUUCUUAUUAUGCCAAUUUACUUCAUAAAGAUCAUCAUUAGCUUAUAUAUUUCUUACUUUUUUUAGAAGAUACUGUUUAUGUUUUUAUGAAAAUUUUGUUAUAUGAAUAAGGCAAAAACUUCUGGACCCUUGUACUAUGUCGGUUUUGUAAAUUGGAUACUUCUACUUACAUGUUUGUCAUCUAGACUCCUGAACUCACUAAAAAGUAACAUUUUAAACUCUUUUUUUGUGAGUGUAACACACUCUCCCCACGUCAGCCGGCACGUCAGCUGCCACAUCCUUUUAAAAAAAAAUUUAAAAAGUAUUACAUUAAAUUUCAAGUCAUUUUUAAAAUGAUAAAUACCAAAUUAAAUAUUAAAAUUAAUUUAAUUAAAUAAUAAAAAUUUAUUAUUGUAGAAAAAUUUGAAUAAUCAUGUUUUUAUUUUUGCUCACAAAUUAAACAUCAAAUUCAUUCNNNNNNNNNNNNNNNNNNNNNNNNNNNNNNNNNNNNNNNNNNNNNNNNNNNNNNNNNNNNNNNNNNNNNNNNNNNNNNNNNNNNNNNNNNNNNNNNNNNNNNNNNNNNNNNNNNNNNNNNNNNNNNNNNNNNNNNNNNNNNNNNNNNNNNNNNNNNNNNNNNNNNNNNNNNNNNNNNNNNNNNNNNNNNNNNNNNNNNNNNNNNNNNNNNNNNNNNNNNNNNNNNNNNNNNNNNNNNNNNNNNNNNNNNNNNNNNNNNNNNNNNNNNNNNNNNNNNNNNNNNNNNNNNNNNNNNNNNNNNNNNNNNNNNNNNNNNNNNNNNNNNNNNNNNNNNNNNNNNNNNNNNNNNNNNNNNNNNNNNNNNNNNNNNNNNNNNNNNNNNNNNNNNNNNNNNNNNNNNNNNNNNNNNNNNNNNNNNNNNNNNNNNNNNNNNNNNNNNNNNNNNNNNNNNNNNNNNNNNNNNNNNNNNNNNNNNNNNNNNNNNNNNNNNNNNNNNNNNNNNNNNNNNNNNNNNNNNNNNNNNNNNNNNNNNNNNNNNNNNNNNNNNNNNNNNNNNNNNNNNNNNNNNNNNNNNNNNNNNNNNNNNNNNNNNNNNNNNNNNNNNNNNNNNNNNNNNNNNNNNNNNNNNNNNNNNNNNNNNNNNNNNNNNNNNNNNNNNNNNNNNNNNNAUUUUUAAAUUCUUAAAAAUAUUUUAAUUUUUUUUGUUUUUAAAAAUAUUUUUUUAAAAAUUAAAUUAAAAUAGAUGAAGGGAAAGAAAGGACCCUUUUUAUUUUUUUAAAAAAAAUUUAAUAUUUUUUUAAAAAUUAUUUUAAUGUAAAAUUGGCAAAAAUUUGACCCCCACUCGCACCCCAGGCGAGUGACUAUACUCUCUUUGUCCUAGUCACCAUUCCAAUGCCACAUAGGCAAGAUCAACGGUCAAAUAAUGCAAAAUUUUAUUUUUUAAUGGGUUCAAGGGUCCAUAUGAUAAAUAUGUAAGUAGAAGUGUUAACUUACAAAACCGACAUAGUACAAGGGUCCAGAAGAUAAUUUUUCCUAUGAAUAAUGUUUAUGUUUUUAUGAAAAAAUUGUUAUAUGAAUUUUUUUUAAAAUGAAAAUAUGAUGAUUUUAAAGAAGUUAAAAAAAAGAAUAAAAAAAUUAUUGAUAAAGGGCAAAAUAGGAAUUUAAAAAAGUUAAUUAGGAUAAAGGGGGAGUAUGAUUAUUGUUCAAAGUUGCGGGGGGAGUUUGAUUUUUAAGACAAAGUUGGGAAGGAAAAAUGAUUUUAACCCUUAAAUAAUAAUAAUAAUUUAUCUUAUCGUUAUUUAUUUAAAAAUUAGAAUUUUUCAAAAAAAGUAGAAAGGUAGAAAUUACAAAAUCUCCUUCUCUUAUUUGAUUUUUCAAAGGAAUGAUGAAGGUAGAAAACGUUUGAUAUAAUUUUACCUUUGGCCCUACUUGUCACAUUCACCCCUUUAUUUGUUGAUUUGCCAAACAUAGUGUUCCACCUAUUGAUCACCUUUUUCUUUUUACUCCGUGUAUUAAUAUUUUUAUUAUUAUGUGGAAAUUGUUGGGAAACAAUAAUAAAGUUCUGUAUUAAUUGUAAAAUUUAAUAUAAAUAAAUUAUAAUAAUGAUAAUAUUUUUUAUAGAGCAGUAUCAACAAGUUACGAUAAUGAUAAUUAUGAUGAUAAUAAUAAUAAUAAUAAUAAUAAUAAUAAUUAUUAUUAUUAUUAUUAUUAUUAUUAUUAUUAUUAUUAACUGACUACUAUAAUAUUUUAAGUGAUGUAUAAAAUAUUUUAGUCGUGUUAGACACUGUUCUAAGAAACUAUUUUCGCAAUGUGUAACAUUUCUCCGAGAUUAAACAACCACUUCCUUAAUUAGUUAGAGGAUACCCAAGGUUAUGUAAGUCUUCCCUAAUUAACUAGAGUACAAAAAUCAACAAUUAUGAAUGAUACAAAAUCAACAAAUCAAAUGGGGAAUACAAAUAACAAAAAUCAUAUAAAAUUAACAAUGUGAAUGAAGGGCAAGAGAGAAAAUAGGAAUUUGAGAAGAGAAGAAAGACAAGAACUAAUCAAUAAUUGUUUAUGACUGACUCGCUAUUCUUGCAACUGAUGAGAAAGCCCUAUGGAGUAAAGGAAUGUUUUUCGUUUGGCCAAACCCAUCUACAGCUCCCUAAACUUGGCACCAUCUUUCACUUUGUCACCUUAAGUGGAUGUUGUUCACUUUGCGGAAUCAGCAAAGAGAGUGUAUCACACUCGCUAAUGACUUGGAAAGAGACCAAUUAUAAAAGGACAUUUGUCAUUUUUAUUAAAAUAAUUUUAAGGCGUCAAAAGUGAACAACAUCCACUUAAGGUGCCAAAGUAAAAGAUGAAGCCAAAUUUAGAGGGAUUGUCGAUGGAUUUGACCUUUUCUUUUAGUGUCAUCAAAUGAGCUUAGCACCCAUAUAUAUAGUAGUAGCUAGUAUGUAGGAAAAACAAAAAUUAACUCUACUUGUUCACAAAAUAAUUAAAGUUCUUGGCCAUUAAGAAAUAAAAGAACUUGGCCACAAAGUAAUUAAAAUACUUAGCCAUUAGGAAAUAAAAGUACUUGACCACAAAGUAAUUUUAACCAAUAAAAAAGUAAUUUAAUUAUUCUUUUGAAAUAUUAUUAUGUUGACAACAAAAAAUGAUAAACUUAUUUCACCCUUAAUUAGGUAAUUUAAGGCCAAAAUUUGAAAAUAUAUAUCUUUCGGCAGUAGGUAUAUUACUUUUUUUUUUUGUAUGAGUUUACUUAAAAGUGAAACUGAAUUAUGGACUUACUAAAUUUUAGAUAUUAAACAAUUUUAAUCGGAGGGGAAAACUCACGGUAUCUUUAAUUUUUUUUUUUAUUUACAUGGUACUAACAAGUUUCAUUACUAUUUUGCUACACAUUUCUUCUUUCAGUUUAAUUUUCUGCAAAAUUCAGAACUUGAGAAUACUGGUAGAUAAUUUUAAUUAGUGGAAACCCAUAAAAGUUUAGUAUCCUAAGCAAAUGACUGUUCUACAAUAAUAACUAUUGAUUUUUUUUUUUUUAUCGACAUGCUGAUGAGAUGUUUGAAAUCUCUCUACUCUUAAUAAGAAAUUUUGAAUUUAGGCCUUGUAGAUGACUUUACUUUUGUCCGAAGCGAAGCAUCUCCCUUAAAAAUAAGUUAUGCAUGAAUCUAGAUUAGUCUCACUCCAAUAUAAAUAUCUGGUAUCAAAUGAUUAGUGUCACUCCGAUAUAAAUAUCUGGUAUCAAAUGAAAAACUAAAAAAAUGAAGUGGCCAAUCUUUAAAAGACAAACCAAGACAUCACCAAUUUAAAAGCAUCCGUUGAUUGGAUAAAUCCAAAUUUUGCUAAUUUUUAAAAUGUUUUCCUGUGUAGGAGGUUGGUGGAUUCACUUGAAACUUGUAGAAAACUACCAGGAAAAUCAUGCAAGUACAAUUAUGAGCGUUUAGUGGAAAGUUGAUUAAGUCAACUAUUUAAAUGAUAGGCAUUUCAUAGUAUUAGACAAAAAAAUAAUGUUCAAGAAUUUUUGUUGAACACAGAAAUUAGUUAUAGAUCUCACACAUUUUUGUAAAGUGGAAAAUAUUUAUCAAACUUUUCAAAACUAAUAUAUACAAGAUAAAAACAAUUAGACACAAUCAAUACCGCUAUGAUCGAGCUAUUGAUAUGUAAAAACAUUCUUAAUGUGUGUGCUAAGUCAAUAAGAAUCAAGUAAAAUAAAACGAGAAUAUAAUUUGGAUCAAUCUAAAAGGCCGACAAGCAGGACGACCAGAAGCUGCUCACUCCCUCUUAUAAUAUAGGAGAAUAUAAUUUUUUUAAGAAAAUAAAGGUAAAUGGUGCUUCAUAUAAAUAGUUUUUCUCUUUGAAUAUUUAUUUAUUUUAAUAGAAUUGAAAUUUAAGUGACCAAGCGAUUAAUUUAAAAAAUUAUUUAUAAAAUGGAAUUAGCUACUUUUCAUUUUAAGAGUCUAUAAGAUCAAAUUUCAAUUUAAAAACAAAAAAUAGAGAGAGAUGGUAGUAUUAGAGUAAAUUAUUUUUCUUAAUCAAUGCGUCAUCUCAAUUUGAGACGGAGGGAGUAUUUCUUAAGAAGUACUCCUAUGCAUAGUAACACACUUUGAUAUGCUUUUAUUGUAAAACCACUUAGGGAAAUGGAACUAUAUCUAACAAUGUGUUAAUUGAGGUUUAAUAAAACAGAAAUAGUACUUUCUCAAGUAGUGUCCUUUAAUUUUGACUUUCUAGCACACAAAAGUUUGACUUUUCAAAAUUCAACAAUUAUAGAAUUGUCAAUUGUCAUAAAUAAUAAACGAAAAACAAAAAGUCACCGGUCUGACGUUUUAGCAAUGAAAACAAAAUAAAUAAAUUAAUAGAAUUAUUAUAAAUAAAUCAAUAUAUGGAAUAAAAAUAACGAUAAUGGAAAAAAAAAAAUUGUAAUAAAAUAUUGAAUGCGAAUUAUUUUUUUUCAUAUCAUGUGAAUGAAAUGUUGUUCUGGCAAGUUUCGUCUCUUUGAAGGCACAUUUAAUGGUGUCAACUUCCUAGCAUUAUGUAAUAGAGGAAAAUAACAGAAAUGCUCCUUAUGUUUGGGUAGAUUUAAAGUUAUUCUUUAAGUAUUUCUAUAAGCAGUUUUUUCCCCCCUUCAAAUUUGCCAAAGAUGAGCAAUUUUUGCCUCCUACAAAUAUUUAAUAUAUUUUAUUUGUUAAAUUUGAUGACAAUUGUAAAAAAAACACUUAGUUGGAAUUCAAAUUCAGUUUAAUUUACAGUAGCUUUGAAAAAAAAAAGAAUUUCUAAUUUUGUAAUUUAUGAGAUCUGAAAAUAUCAUUUUUUUUUUUUAAUUUAAAGUUGUAAGUAGUAGUAGGAGACCAUUCGCUUAUAGUCAAGAAAUAAUUACAAGCCUGAAUCAUUCGAUCAUCAAAUUUAUAAAAUAUACAUAAAGUAUAUAAAUUUUAUAUACUUUAUACAUAUAAUAUACAUACCUAUCGUUUAUAUUUCAACCUUAUUGAUAAACUAAUCAGUACAAAUAAGCAUAUGUGUGAUUUAAUUAACAAUUAUUUCAAUAUACGUUUGGUAGGGAUGUAAAAAUCAAGACUAGUUAGGAGGAGGAAAAGUAAAAAAAGGGGUACAUAUCAUUUCUUUUGUUUGGUAGGGUGGUCAAGACUCAAAUAGGAGGGAAGUGAAAAUGAAAAUGUUUAAUAUCCUUUACUAGUGGUAGUCAACAAUCAACACUUUUUUAAUUCAUCCGGAACUACAAGAGUUUAAAGUGUAUAAUAAAGUUGAUGAGCUAAUAUCAAGAUAAUAUAUAUANNNNNNNNNNNNNNNNNNNNNNNNNNNNNNNNNNNNNNNNNNNNNNNNNNNNNNNNNNNNNNNNNNNNNNNNNNNNNNNNNNNNNNNNNNNNNNNNNNNNNNNNNNNNNNNNNNNNNNNNNNNNNNNNNNNNNNNNNNNNNNNNNNNNNNNNNNNNNNNNNNNNNNNNNNNNNNNNNNNNNNNNNNNNNNNNNNNNNNNNNNNNNNNNNNNNNNNNNNNNNNNNNNNNNNNNNNNNNNNNNNNNNNNNNNNNNNNNNNNNNNNNNNNNNNNNNNNNNNNNNNNNNNNNNNNNNNNNNNNNNNNNCCCCCCCUUAUUCCUACCCCUAAAGAGAUCAAGGAUACAAUCUUUUCCUUCAAGCCUAGGAGAGCACCUGACCCUGAUGAAAUCCAUCCUCUCUUGUACCAAAAAUAUUAGGACAUUGCGAGCUCCCAUUUCAUUCAAUUGUGCACUGACACCUUUCAAUCCAGCCAAAUGCCCAAGAAUGUGAACACCACAUAGUUUUGCCUAAUACCCAAGUGUAUGAAUGCUUCUAAUCUUAGGAAUUUCAGACCCAUUGGACUGUGUAACACCCAAUAUAAAAUCAUCGCUAAGAUUAUUGCUGGCAGACUCAGAUGUCAUCUUGAAAACAUUAUUAGUCAGAGCCAGGGCAACUUCCUUCCUGAGAGAAGAACUUCUGAUAAUGCAAUCAUUGUCCAAGAAAUUAUUUCUUACUUCACGAGGAUGAAAGGCAAAAAAAGUAACAUGAUUCUUAAAAUUGACCUAGAAAAAAUCUUUGAUGGGAUUGAGUGGUCCUUUAUUAUACAAGCCCUCCACUUCUUUAAUAUCCCUCCAAAAUUGAAUUCCCUCAUAAUAUCUUGUAUAUCCCCCUCUUCUAUUGUAAUGCCCCGAGAUCCCAUCCCGAGAAGUCACACAGUGCUUAUAGACCCGACAAGCUAACCCUUUUCUGAUAUCUGUAUCUGUACACUGCAUAAGAUCUGAAAAAAAUAUGGAAACUUGCCAUAAGGUUCAACACAUCUAUACAUACUCAAAACUGAAAACUGAAUACUAAUACAUCCAUCUGAAAAACCUCUAACUGUCUGAACUGUGGAGUUGAUGGGACAUGUCCCCAACUAACUCCGUCAACAGAAAAUAAACAAAGUCUGAAAUAAUAGUAGUAAAUUGAGACUCAUCCUCAAAAGAAGAGGACUCACUUCUACUGCUGCUGAUUGGGACCAAACUGCUGAGGAUAAACUGGAUCCUGUGCCUCUGAACCUAUAGUGUCAAAUAAAACACCAUAGUGCGAAUGCGUCAGUACAAACAUGUACCGAGUAUGUAGACGGGGUAGGCUAAUGCAAGGGUUCAUGCAUGCACAAUAUCUAAACUGAAUAAUCAUGAAAAUGCCGCAUGAGAACACAUACAUGAAUGCACAGAACAUGAACACAAUUAUUGCAACUUUAGAUAUUGAAACUCAGAUACCACUUUACUGCAGACUGAACUCACUACUGACACUGAGCUACUGAAUCACUGACUCAUCUGGUACUGAUAACUGAGGAUCUGGAUGUGCUUACAUCAAUGACUGAAUUCUUGGACUUACUGCUUUCGACUGACAAGAUUAGAGAUCAACCUUUCUAACAGAUGAUUUCGCAAGCUUUAUCAAUGAUAAGAAAUAUGAUUAUAUCUAAAUCUGACAACAAGAAUACUCAAUAGAAAUCUGAUACUGUGAUCAAGCCUGUCUGACAACAUAUCUCUGAAUAUAAUAUCAAAUAACUGUAUGUGAGACCAAGUCUAUCUGAUGGGAUGGACUAUAAAUCAAUGGAACUAUCUGAGUUCCUCACAAUGAUAGAUGACUGUAUAUGACAGUCCUAAUUUCUAAAGACUGAUUCUAAAACUGAGACUGAAUCUGAAACUAAAACUGUGGGAAGUAGUCACUUAACUGACAUGCCCCGAUCUACCACAUGUGGGGUCCAACCCGUGCCCCAGUUGGAAGGUUGUCAUUACCCCACCACUGGUAAAGACAACUCUAUGUGACCCUCAUCUAGCAGGUCCUCAAACGAGAACGGUGGAGCCCCCAUCUAGCAGGUCAAGCCACCUCAUCUACCCUCAUCUAGCAGGUAUGAUGUCUCUCAUCCACCCUCAACUAACAGGUGUGAUGUCUCAACCUACGCUGGCUACGUAGUUCUGGAGCACAAAGAUUGUUUCUAAGAAUCACACCCUCUACUAGUAGGUGAGUUUUCAUCCUUGAGCUCGUUCGGUGCUAGUUUCUACUCCCAACUGAAAGACUCAGAACUGAAUCUCAACUAUACACUAGCUGAACUAAAUUUGACACUGAUCAUAUUACUCAAAAGGUCUGACUGAGUUACGCUGAGAUCACUUGGUUACGUAGACAAAAAAAUAUCGAAUCAUGGUAUCUGAAUGACGAUAUAGAUCUUGAAUAGAUUACUCGAAUUGCUUCUGAGAUUAAGAUUGAAUUACUUGAAUACUAUUAGAACUGAGCUGAUUACAGGUCUGAGGCUAGAUUACUAGCGAUAUAGAGAUUACAGAGAUAACUGAGAUUACUGAGCUUUAUUAAGCUUCGCACUUGUCUGAGGAUACAGAGUUCUAUAGUUCACUAAGUUCUGAGAAUCAUGGAUCGAUUGGAAUUAUUGAGAAACUGACUCGGGCUCUAGACAACAACUUUAUUUUCGGGUAUAAAUACCCCUAGGACUCGAUAACAUAAAAGUAACACAUAAUAAUUCUUCAUCACAAAUCAUUCAUGCAUCAUUACGGUCAUCCAUUCAUCACUACAAUAAUUCAUUCAUCAUUACAAAUAUUUAUCCAUCAUUACAAUCAUUCAUGUAUCAUCACAAUCGUUAAAGCAUCACUUCAAGUAGUUGGGCAUUAUAACAUACUUUCCCUCUCAAGAUCCUUAGGACAUCGCAUUAAGUAUUUAGGAAACAUAGACCUCUAUUCAUCAUCACAACCGCAAAAGGGUCACUCCAAACCUUUAAGGAUCACAUCAUCGAUUCACUAUCAUAUACUAGCCAAGAGAAGACAUGCUAUUAGAUUAUACCCCAUUCUACGAGAUCUUACAUCAAGUACUUCAUACCUAUAUCGAUCUUGUCAUGUAUUUGGAUAUCACUUGAUUUGGGGGAAACUUCAUACUAUCACGUCACUAUUUACUUGCUAACCACUUGACGUGUAUUAAAAGCUUAGAUAUAUCAAAGAGCACAAAAUCGGAGAAUUUACAACCAUCAUAUCUCGACUUGUUCACUAGGGUCUUUCAACAACCACUAAACACGACCGAUUUUACACCGACUUGGGGAUUUCAUUCUAUCUUGGCAUAUUUCACUCACGAAGGCAUUUUAUCAAACACUAGACAUGCAUGGACUAGCUCACAAUUUGGGGUUUCCUAUUCAACAUACUAUAGUGACCCUUAUGCUUCACCUAAGCUCUUUAUCAAACCUAUGGGGAACGUUCUUCACUUAUUCAACCACUUUUACACCCAAAAAUCAUGAACACAUCACAUGAAAAAACAACUUCAAGUUUACAACUAGGGUCAAAGCUCAUAAAUUUUGUAGGCAAACAUAAAUCAAAACUCAACAACACAUUAAACAUCCAUUUCAACUCAUACAAAUCAUUUACAACUCAUAAACAUAAAAAUCUUUUAGUUUUAAAAAGGGUUCUUGAUCUUCUUGGAUGAAAGGGACCUAAGAAUCAACAUCGACAUACCUUAACCUUGGAAAUUGGAUGAACUCUAAUGUUUGAGACUCUAUCCUCACUUAUAAUAAAGAAACUUUAUCCACAUUUGAAAUAAAUAAAUUCUUGAAGCCCAUACUAUGAGGAACUUGAUUCUUGAAGAAACCUUGAAGAAUUUAUGGAUGAAUUUUGGAAGAUUAGGGUUCUUGAAUGAAACCCUAGAUAAUCUUGAGAGAAUUUAAAAAGAAAAUAAUGGAAUUAGGUUUUGAAUGAGGGUUCCUCGUAUUUAUAGAAGCUCAAAAAGGGUGGAAAAUGACCAAAAUACCCUUGUAAAAAUGCCCUUGAAUUGCUGAAAAAAUAUACUUGACGCCAUCCGUGACAGGCCGUCAGGUCCGUGAUAGGCCGUCACGAAUGGUCGUCACAAAAGGGGUCCAAAUUCUUGAUUUUCUGCCCAGGGCUGACGACAUCAUCAGAAAUGUCGUCAGAAUAUGACGACGUCAUCAAAAAGGUCGUCAGAAACGUGAUAGCCCGUCAGAAACGUCGUCACCGUUUUCCAGCUUGAUAUGCUGGAGUAAAAUGGGCAUAACUCUUUGCUCCGAUAUCGGAUUUAGGAGAAAUUGGUAUCGUUGGAAAGAUAAUUCAAAGAUAUUUCAUUUGAUCUAUAGAAAUCCACCCAGUUAUUCAUAUACAACAAGUUAUGGUCGAUUUAAGUUGACCCAAAUUUUGACGGUCACUAAAACUUGAACGAUAGGAAAGUUUUCAACUCGUUUAUGAGUUAGGGGAUCUCUAUAAUCUUAAUUCAUGAUCAAAUAGAUUCCCACACGAUUCAAAGUAUUUCAUACUUGGGAGGAUAUUUUUGAAACAUUUUGACUCGGAUUUUUGCUUUACCAAAUACGCUCUAAGGCUCAGACUGAAAGAGGAUUUUGCGGGGCAUUACAUCUAUCUCCACUUUGAUAAAUGAAGACAAGACUGAUUUCUUCCAACCCAGUAGACCGGGACGGCUCAACGAAUUUGGUGGCCUAAAGCCAAAUUUUAAUCAGAGAUUUCAAAUAUAUUCAAUAAAAUUUUCUUUUGUGCAUCACACAUGUAUCUCUUGUGCCACUCGUACAUCUUGUACGAUGUAUGUGCAUCUUGUGAGAUUUACGUGCAUCUUAUGUGUAUUUUUUGCGCUAUAAAUGUAUCUUGUUGUCAGUUAAUAAAAAUAUUUAGAAAAAAUGGAGCCUCAAGUCACUACUUUAGUAGCUUUAUGGUCGAGCCAGCACUGGUAGUAAACAUCGGGUGCAUGUAAGCAUUUACCACAGAUGAGAUGCAAUUUAAAAAAUGUUGAUUUUAAGUCCUUUGAAGUAUUAGGUUCAGAAUGAUCUCUCUGCUUUAACUUAAACCCUUCUUGUUCCUGUUACACAUACUAUCAUGCUAACAAGCGUAUCAAAAAUCCACAAUGAUGCAUUGAUUAGUAGUACUGCAAUGAAUAAAUUGAAAAAAACAAUCAUAACUUUGUAAACAUUGGAGAAGAAAUUUACAUAGGAGCAAACAAGUUGCAAUAACAUAAAAAUAAGAAAUUAACAAAAAAUCUAGGGAACUUCCUCCUCGCCUUGGACCUAAUAGGACCGAAGACAGUAAAGGAGUUGAAUCUGCAAUACUAAUAUUUGAUAUUACAGGAAUAGUUUGUGGCUUAAAAUUGUAAUCUAGAUUCUUUUCAAUAUCUAGCACACCCUUCAUGGCCUUGACCACCAUCGAGACUGAUGGCCUCUUUGUGUAAUCACUUUGUAAACACUAGACAUCAAUAUGCAUCGUAUUUAUUCUUCUUUUUUGUAGAACUGCAUAUCUUCACUGUGUUUAUCAAUAAGAUCCACCAACUGCCCUUCCUUUGCCUUUUUCUGAAUAAGUUCAACAUUAUCUUUUCCACUUCAAUCUCUGAUGCCUCAAAAUGUCUUCGUCCACUCAAAAUUUUCAAGAUCACAAUGUCAAAGAUUUAAAGAUCUACCUUUUCUAUUAUAACUCCACUAAGCCAUUCAGGAUCCAAAUAACCAGAAGUGUCUCUCAUCAUGGUCAUGACUUGGCUCUGAUUUCGAUCAAUUAGCUUUACAGCUUUGCAAGCCCAAAGUCAGAGAGUUUAACGUUGAGUUUCUCAUCUAGUAGUAUGUUUGGUGGUGUAAUAUCCAAAUGCAAAAUCUUUUGCCUUCAUUCUUCAUGAUGGUAGGCUAAUCCUUUGGCUACGUCUUGAAUAGUCUUCUUCCUACAAUUUCAGUCUAGAAUUUGCUCUUGUUUCCCAUGGUAGAUCCAUUUUUCUAGUGAUCCAUUGCUCAUGAACUCGUAUACUAAAAUCCUAUGAGAUUUCUCAAUACAGAACCCAAUCAAUUGCACCAACUUUACAUGAUGCAUGCCGUUAAUAGUUUUAACCUCAGCUAAGAAUUAUUUUUUGACUUGUUCUAUUCCAUCAAGGCAUUUCACUACAAUAUUUGUGCCAUCUUCUAAGCACCCUUCAAAAACCAACCCAAAUCCUCCUUCACCAAGAUUCUUAGUAAAAUUCUCUGUUGCAACCUUUAGGUCAUCGUACAAAAAUCUAGUUGGCAUACCUGACACGUGAUCUAGAUAAUCCUCCUCUUCUUCAUUGGCCUUUUUCUUCUUCUUCUUCUUCUUCUUCUUCUUCUUCUUCUUCCAGAAUAUGAAAACUGUAAUUCCAAUUAUGAUGCCUAAGAUGGAAUAUCCUAUAAUAAAGCCCAGUAUAACACCACUUAAAAACGUUUUAGGAAUAUGAGUUGCGGGUUCAGGUUCCUAUACUUUUAUAAAUGCCUGAAAAUCAUACCGUGUUCUGUCCUUCUCAUUAUUCGCUAGUGAAAAGAUCUUGGGUGGUAGGUAGCAGUCUCCAGUGGAAGAGCUUAAACCACUAUGAAAUAGAGCAACUUUACAGGAAUAGUUCCUUAAACAUGUAUCUUUACAGGUAUUCACAUCAGUGUUUCUAAUAUCUGUAAUAAAAAAAUUAUUAGACAUUUGACCAAUUUAUUUGCUAAUUUGUAAUAUAAAUAUGGGAUGAUACAUAAAAAUCUUCCUAUAUUUGGCUCAAUUUAUAAACUGUACAUCUAAAAUCUAUGUAUUGCAUCUUAAUAAAUCUAAUAUUGAGGUACGUACAUAUUGCUACCCUGCCAUAUUUCAAGAGGAAGAUAAAAGAUGAUACUAAAAGCUUUUGCUGAAAACUGGUAUUGUGCAUGAUUAUUGAUUUUAUUUCUCUAGGUCUUAUGAUUUUAUAAUCUCAUCGUAUAACGAUAAGGUAAAAACUUGUGCACAGCGAUGCUUACAGUCAUUCAUCACCUAACUAUAAUUUAGUAAUAUGUAUUCUUUCUUUAAUUUUUAACUGUUGUAAUUAAAUUACUUGGUGGAGAGUAAAUAGGGUCGGCUCAACGAAUUUGGUGGACUAAAGCCAAAUUUUAAUUCGAGGUUUCAAGUAUAUUCAAUAAAAUUAGCUUUUGUGCAUCACACAUGUAUCUCAUGAGCCACCCGUGCAUCUCGUGCAAUGUGUGUGCAUCUUGUGCGAUUUACGUGCAUCUUAUGUGCAUUUUGUGCGCUAUACAUAUAUCCUGUUGUCAGUUAAUAAAAAUAUUUAGAAAAAUGGGGCUUCCAAAAAGUUGGGGUCUCAAGCCAUUGCUUUAGUAGCUUUAUGGUCGAGCCAUCCCUAAUAGUAGAGGGAUCAAACAGGGCAACCCCAUAUCCCCUUAUCUUUUCAUCAUGUGUAUAAAACUCUUCUCUAUAAGGAUUGACCAUGAGAUUGACUUUCUAAAUUGAAAACCCAUCACAAUUAGCAGGAAACCCCUCCCCCUAUCUCAUAUCUUCUUUGCUGAUGACCUUGUUCUUCUUACCAAGGCAGAUAGGAAGAACUGCAAGUCCAUCAAAAACACCCUUGAGAAGUUUAGCUUUUUCUUAGGACAAAAAAUUAAUCUCAAUAAGUCUAAGGUCAUUUUCUCUAAAAAUUGCACUUCAUUAUCAAAGACUCUCUUUCUUUGAUUCUCAAUUUCCAACUAAGGGAGGAUUUUGACAAAUACUUAAGCUAUCUCAUAUUCCACAAAAAGCCCUAUAAUAGGGACUUUCAAUUCAUUGUGGAUAACUUAAACACUAAACUUUCAUGUUGGAAAACCAAGUUUCUUAAUAUUAUUGGUAGAAACAUCCUACCAAAAUUCUCCCUCAGUUGCAUCCCCAUCCACAUCAUGCAAUAUAUUACCUUUCAUAGCAAAAUCCUCAAGACCAUUGAUAGGUCCAAAAGAACUUCAUCUAGGGUUCCACAGUUGAAAAGAGAAAGCUACACCUUAUCAACUGGGAUACCCUGACUCUUUUAAGAAAAGAGGGUGGGCUUAGAGUUCAAAGAGAAAUUACUCAGAAUAAUGCCAUGUACACAUGCUUGGCCUGGAGAUUCUACCAUCAACAUGAUAAGCUCUGGAGUGCAGUGUUGGGAGGUAAAUGUAAUUUCAUUGAGAGAUCUUCCCAUAAGUCUUCCUCCAACACCUAGAAAAACAUUUAGAAGGGCUGGAGGAAUUGCAUCCAAGCUUCUCAAUGAAUUGUCCACAAUGGCCAGAAAAUCAAAUUUUGGCAGGAUAAAUGAAUCACAAUCCCCCCCAAGAAUGUUAUCCAGGGCCCCUUCCACCCUUUCCAAGCUAACAUGGAAUUACCUUCAGUCUGGUAUGAUAAUAUUUGGAAUUUGAAGAACCUUUCCUUCCAAAUCCCCCACAACAUUGUCUAGACCAUCUUAAACACCUUCAAGCCUAACACUAGAACCACUUCAGAUCACCUCAUCUAGAGCUUAUCUGGAAAUGGCCUCUUUACGAGCAAAAAUGCCUUCUCUUUCCUAAACCAGAACUACAAGAGAAUAAACCAAGCCAUCCAUAAACUUUUUUCAUGGAUCUGGAAGGCCACUGCCCUCUCCCCCUUCCUAAAUUAAAUUCUUUUUAUGGCUAGCUCAACAUAAUAGACUCCCCACCAAGCUCACCCUUUCCAACUUGGGAUUAAAAAUCCCUCGUAAUUGCUCUAGAUGUGAUCACCAGACGGAGGACAUUCUCCACAUAUUCUACCACUGUCCCUACUCAGUGAAUCUCUGGACCCCAUUCUUGAUAAGUGUCGAGAGAAAGGGUGGGACAUCUCCUACUUCUGCCCUCAAAACUAGAACUCCACUUGGAAUAGAUUGAAGAAUCAUCAUUUUGACAACAACCUUUUUUUGGGCAUGAAAUCCUUCCUUUUGCCCUCUAGACAAUUUAGAAGAAUAGAAACUCCAACUUUUUUAGAAAACAAGAAGGAAAAAUCAAGCUUUAACAAAGCCCAUAUGGAAUCUAUUGAAUUCACCCACAUUGCCAACACCAAAUCCAAUGCUCGUCAAAUGAGAACCAUCAACAUCAAAUGGCAACCACCCAAGAAAGCUAUGUUCAAACUUAACUCAGAUGAAUCAUGCCUUGAAAACCCUGGUAGAUGAGGGAUUGAAGGAAUGAUCAGAAAUUUUAGGGGGGGUGGGUAAUCGACUUUGCCAAGCAUUUCACCAACUCCACCAACUACCAAAUGAAACUUCUAGCCUUGAUUGAGGGCCUGAGAAUCGCAGAAGCUAAUCAUUUCCUUCCAUUAGAGUUUAACAUUGAUUCAAAGGAAAAUAUAUCUAUGUUAAAAGAAGACUACUUACUUUAUAAUGCUCUACUUGAUGACUGCAGGUCAAGAAUAAGAAGACUAGGAAGACCCUAGGUGCUGCACUGCUAUAGAGAACAAAAUUGUUUGGCAGAUGCAAUGAGAAAAAUGGGUGCAUCAUCAUUGCACCUUUAGAAGACUACUAUUUUUGAAGUUCCAUCAAUGUCUGUCAGAGCAGACAUAACUGAAGCUUAUUUUGAAAGAAGAAUUAAUGUUUGUAAUGUUAGUCUGACUGACAACAUCUCAAACUCUUUUAUUUUGGAACCGAACUAACUAGUCCGAUGGUUCUAACUAAUGCUACAUAAAACAUUUUCUUGUAGAAAGUAUUAAACACGCACGCAUAAAUUAAAAGGAGUAUUUGUUUUGGAAAGGAAAAAGUAUUCUUCACUUUUUGUACAUUUUUGUUAACAAAACAAAGGAAAAGAAAGUAAACAAAAGGUUUUCCACUAGAAUUCUCCAAAAUUCUUUUUACAUUAGACAUUAAUAAAGUUGGGAUGCGUUAAGUCAGACGGAAAAAUAUUUUCAAAAAAUAAAUUAUUUUAUUUUAUACUUUUUUUGUGUGUUUGCUAAAUAAAAAAUAGUCAAAAGAAUAAUUAUAUGAUCUAAAGAAACAUUGCGAGGUGGAGCAUAGGUGAGGGUGAAUGAGAGGAGGCGGGGAAAGGAGGAUCAACAUAAAAUCAAAUAAUAUAAAACUUAAUUUUUCUACCUGAAGAUAUUUUCCUAAUAUUUAGGAAAAAAAAUUCAAAAGAAAUUUUGUUCAACUUAACAUGCAAAAGUUGAGAAAUAUAAUUGAAAAAAAUAUACUCCUCCAUAACAAACACACCCUUAGCCCUGUUAAUUUUAGUUGUUUCAACGGAAUUAUUGUGCUCUUUAGUACUUAUACUAUUACUUUAUAUAGAUUCAGAAAAAAGAAUAAACUUUUUCCUGAAUAAGAAACUACCCCAGUGUUGGUACAUUUUGGAAUCAAAUUAUUUCCACCAUGAGUGAAAUAAAAAUAGCAAUACUCUCAAAUCACAAAUCAAAAAUUAAGAUCCAACUUUUGCAUUCUUUUUAAGGUAACAAGGGCGCACUGAAUUGCAAAGUUUUCAAAAGAAAAAAUUGAUGUUUUCGAAAAGAUUUGAUUUAUUUAUCUUGCAAAAAACAACUCAAGCAAGUAUUUUUUGGAAAACUACAAAAUUGAGCUUGCAAACUUCACCUAAGAAGGUAGAAACGCAUAUGCGUAAUUGUAUUAUACAACAACAACAUAUGUGUCACGAUUAAAGUAGCUACAAAACCUAAUCGUGAAGAAGAGAAUUGCAAAGAGGAAUAAAAGAAGAGAGAAAGAGGGGGGAAGAGAGAUAGGAAAAUAGAGUGAUAAUAUUCAUUGCCUCAGAUAAUCUAGUACAACAGCUAACAAAGCCAACCAAGAGUAUGACUAGGUGACACGUGUCCAGCUGAUAAUAAGAAAAUUACAAGGGACUGAACAACAAUUACUAGACACUACUAAAAACUUGAAGGAUUAUAAUGACAUAGAGAAAUUAUACUAAAUCUUAAACAAAACAGCUAAUUAACGGUCAUUUCAUGACAUUCCAUCCCCCUAAAAAUAAACCUUGUCCUUCAAAUAUCAAAGCUGGGAAAUUGAGACUUCAGAAAAUUAAAAUCUUCCCAGAUAGCCUCUUCAGGUAGCAAAUUUGCCCAUUGUACCAAAACUUGAACAUCCACUGUAUUGUUUUUCUUGACGAUUCUACGUUCCAAAAUAGCAAUAGGUUUAGCCAAAGGCUGUCCAUCACUGGAGCAAACUGGAGGUUCAAUCAUUGGGACCAGAUGAGCUCUUAUCUUCUUCUUUAGUUGGGAAAUGUGAAAAACUGGAUGGAUUUUUGUUGUUGCAGGUAGCUGCAAUUCAUAGGCCACAGGACUGAGUUUCUUGAUCACAUUGUAGGGACCAUAGUAUUUAGAAGUAAGCUUCAAGUUACUCCUUAAGGCCACUGAUACUUGCCUAUAAGGUUGUAGCUUAAUAUAGACCCAGUCCCCAACUUCUAGUUCCCUUUCUGUUCUCUUCCUGUCUGCAUAGAACUUCAUUCUAUGCUGAGCUUUUUCUAAAUUUUUCUUCAAAACCUUAGCCAUCACCUAUCUGUCAUGUAGCCAUUUAUCUACUGUAGCUACUUUAGACUGAGAGAUUAACUCAACUGAAAGUUGGGGAAGAUCAUACCCAUACAGAAUCUUGAAUGGAGACAUUUUUGUUGCGGUAUGGUAAUUGGAAUUAUACCAAUACUCAGCUAGUGCUAAUGUAACACCCCGUACUUAAUUACGUGCAUUAGCCAUUGUUAUAUGUGUUGGAGUAUAUGUAUUGAUCCUAAGUUAGGUAUAUAUGAGUUUAAGUAUGAGUAUUGAUUAUUUUGAGAUGGUUUCAAGUGUAUAGUUUGAUUAUAUGUGUAUAGGAAUCGACUUUAUUUAUACCGGAAUUUGCCCGUCGAUGGUUCCAUACGAAGGUUAUUGAAUAAGCUUUCCAACGAUAUAAAGAUUUCCAAAAACGGAUAAGUUUCGGAUAUAAUCGAGCACGUUCGAAACUAUAAAACAGUGGCCGGGAUGUUGUGAACAGUAAAUGUGCAGGAAAAUUUCCUGCACACAAACUACUGAGGCCUGCUAGUUUUUUGAGUCAACUUUGAACGAUCAUAACUCCCUCAAUAUAAUGAACUAGGAGAGCUACGACAUAUCAAAAGAAAGAUCUUUGCGUCUUCUUUCCAAUACAAUUGGUUUCAUCCAAAUCCAACAUCUGAGGAAGGAGUUAUACUCGUUUUACUUCAGCCUCUCAAAACAGAUUUUUAGGGUCAACUUCAAACGAUCAUAACUACUUGUACAGGACGAACUGGGUGGAUUAAUUUAUAUUAAAUGAAAGACCUUUGAAUUAUCUUUCUAACGAUACCAAUUUCACCCAAAUCCGAUAUCGGAGCAAAGAGUUAUGGCCGAUUUACUUUAGCCUAUCAAAACAGUCCACCAUGGACAGAUUCGGAUUUACUUAAAUUUUUAAGGGCAAUAUGGUCAUUUUCCAUCACCUCAUGGACGAAAAUUGGUCAUUAUAUACAUAUACUUAGCCUUAUAUCCACCAUUUAUCAUCCAAAUCAUUGAAGAAUAAGAAACCCUAGCCUAAGUUCAACUCCAAUUAUCUUGUGAUUCAACCGUAGAAAAUCCAAAUUGAUUCCGUAGUUGUGUUCACCGUCUCAAGGGCUUCGAGAAGCACCCCUUAUUUGUGCCAACAGGACUUCGAAAUCAAAAGGGCCAUUUUUUUUGGUAAGGAUGUAAAUUAUGUUGGUGUUAUUUAUAUGGAUAUGUAUAUAUAUAUAUAUAUGCAUGUGAGCAUAAGAAGUAUGUUAUUUGAUUGUUGUUGAAAGAUGAUUGGAAAUGAUGUUGGAUUAUUCUUGUGCAUGGUUGGAUUAUGUUAAAUUGUGAAGGAAUUUGGGGUGAUGAUGUGGUAUUGAUGAUGUGGUAUUGAGAUGAUGAUUAUAUACAUAUACACACAUAAACCUAUUGUUCAAGUUGGUUUUUGGAAUGUUUUGCAAAUAUUGGUAGUAUGGAAUUAUGGAAGAGAAUUGUGGUGUUGGGUUGCUAAUACUAGAUGCCAAACAUUUCAUUGUAGAUAAGUGAUUUGUAAAGGCGGGAAGUUGUGUUGAAUUGGUAUCUGAAUCUACAACGAGGUAUGUAAAGCAUACUCUAACAAUGUUCUUUGGCAUGAAAACACCAAUGUUCCAUCAAGUAAGAUUCCGAGGUUGUCCAAAAACAUGUAUUGUUCUACGUUACCAACGAAGUUGUUUCCAUCCUAUAAAGUGUCAAAAUGUUCAUUGAUAUACCAAAAGGCUCUUAUUUCAUUGUUGUGAUAUUGAUGAUUCUGAAACAUAUUGUUGAUGUACCAAUGAGUCCUUAUUACAUCGUUAUUGUAUAGAAGGUCUAUUACUUGGUUCCUAUUGAUGUAUCAUUGUUUCAAGGUAUCAAAAAUGUGGUGACGACCGAAAUAACAAUCUCAAAGAUUAAUUGAACUAAGUGAUGAAAGUUCUCUCUUAUCGGGUGGUAUCCCAGGGGCAUAAGCCUAGCAUGGGUCGAUCCCUAUUUCAUGUGUUUAUGGGUGGUAUCCCAGGGGCAUAAGCCUAGCAUGGGUCGAUCCCAGUUGAUAUGUACUGGAGGCAUCCUAAUGGUCACAGUACAGUACAGUAAUGAUUACAAAGACGAUAAGAACGAAGGUAAAGUGAUUGAAUAAAUACAAUGUACAGGUUGUCACAAGUUCUAGUAAGUGUGGUCCACUCCUAUUACGACUUAUUCACUUGUUUCUGAUUUCUAUUGAGCUCCUAUAUCAUAUGUGAUUAUUUACAGCUUUACAUACUCAGUACAUAUUUCGUACUGACGUCCCUCACGGGGGACCUGCAUUUCAUGCUGCAGGCACAGGUACCUCAACUCAUACACCGCACAAGUAGGAGCCAGGUCAUACAGCUAUUGUUGGUGAGCUCCAGUUUGCUUCGGAGCUUUCCGAGUCGGUUCCUUAUGUUUUGUUAUUGUACAUGAGUCACGUGUGGGCGGGGGUUUGUCCCGACCCUAGUUAUGUCAUGUAUAUCCUAGAGGCUUUGUAGACAUAAGGAAGGGUAAAGUCAUGGAAGUUUAUAUAGUAACGUUAUAUUUGUAUAUGUGGUGGCCCCGACGGCCAAGUAUUAUAUAUAUAUAUUUGUGCGUGUUGUGCUGAUACAGGUAAUUAGACCUUUCUAUAUGCAACGAAGUGCUGUCCAAUUUUUUUGGUGACAUGUAAGUGAAAGUACAGGUAUUUGAACGGGUUCUCCCGGGCCUUCUCGGCUUCGGGUGCCAGUCCGGCCCGAUGGGAUUUUGGGGCGUGACACAAGUGAUCAAAAAUCCACUAUGGUAUGAUGACACAUUUUUUAAAGACAAAACUCUCUUCUUAAAAGAUGAUAGUUUGUCAAUUGGAGGGGUUAGUGGUCCAAAAGAAGGGGGUGUAUGUUCUCCAAUGACCUAUUCAUUCUUGUGUGAACCCAUGCUUGAUCAAGGGCUUAAUGCUUGUAGAUCAAAGGGUGAUUCUAUAUGUGGGCACACCUUAAAUAAACUUUAUUUAAGUAACACCUUUCUAUACCACUUUUUUUGCAUAUGAUGAUACUCUUUCCUUUGAGUGGAGUAUGUUAUGUGAGAGUAGAGUGUCAAUGGGGCAAAUAGGUGUAUGAUUUUACCCAUGUUUAUGGAUUGCCUUUUCCUUUUGUCCUGGUAAUGAUUUGAAUAGUGGCGUUUGUGAUAAAAUACUUGGUUCAAAUGACAAGAAAGUUGUGGGUGAGGUUGUUGGCUUGCGUGGUGGUAAGUAUAGUAGUAACAUAUUUUUUCUCUCAUAUGAUUAUUGCUUGGUGUUAUUACUUGAUCUUAUAUGUUUAAUAAGAUAUAUUUGCCAAAUUAUGUAGAGAAUACCUUCGUAUUUAAUCUCCAAUGAUGAAUUAGGAGUAAUUCUAUUCUUUAAGAUAGUUAGUGCAUUGGAUAGAGUAUUGACUUGGAAUGACCUCAUUUAUGACAUGAAACAUAGUUAUAUGGGUUAUCAUGUGUUACAUGACUUAAAGGGAGAUUUUUUUUUCUAAAUUUAGAACCAUUGAGGACUUGUAUCAGUGGUUGCCUAAACACCAUGGUUCUUUUGAUUUGCCCCUUUGUCAAUGUUUCCUAUGUAGCCAAGUAUAUCAAUUUUUGUUGGGUGACAAACCAUUUAUGACUCAUUUUUUUGCUUGGUUAUAUGUUAAAUGUGUACACCCUUGGCAUGGCCAUAAAUUUGUUAUUGAUAAUCCUUGUGUUAAACCUCAUGCUACGAUGAUAUGUUUGUUGUUUUUCCUUCUCAUUUUUUAAAAAAGUUUGGAUUCGUGGAUGAAUUCUUUUGAUGAAGUGGAUCAUGAUUAGCUUGGAACAUAUUAGGAGGGUCUUCCAUGUAUGGAUGAUAUCUUGGAGUUUGAAGGAAGGCAUGAAGAAAUAGAUACAUAAGGUCAUUGGCAAUCAAGAUGCCAUUUGGCCAAUUAAGAAGGUCCCUUGUGAGUUAUUUGUAAAAUGGUCACAUUAGGGAGAUUUUUGUAAUAGACUUUUUCUGUAAAGGCACUGACUAUAAAUAGUUUCUUUAUCCAUUUUCAUCACUUAGAUUUGGAAAAGUGAAUUGUCUUGAAUAGAAUUGAUAUUUAGUUAUUCGAUAUUAGGGCAGUAAUUGGGUUCAAUUUCAAUUGUUAGCUUAGAUUGAGUGAUUAGGGUGUCUUUCUAAAUUGUUUGUGUUAUCUUCUUCACUUGAUUUAUCAUUAAGUUAUCAUAUUAUGGAUUCAAUCUGGUUUCUCGUCCAUUUGAUUAAGUUCUCUAUUUUUCUUAGCUUAAUUAUUAUUUGAUUAAGUCUUUCUUUCAGCACUUCUAUAAUACCCCAUAUUAUUAUUAGGUCAGUUCAUCUUCUAGUUGUAUGCAUAAGGGGCUUAAGGCCUAAAAAUUUCACUAAGUGUUGGGGAAUUAGUCAUUUAUAAGUCCUCUUAACUUCGAGGAUUUUUCGAUUGGUCUUCCCGAUCCUAAGGUGUUGGUUUUUGAGUUAAUUCAUAUUCAGGGAUGUAAGGAGCAUGUCUUAGAGAAGUUUCAAAUUUUUUGAAUGAGGUUUCGGUCAUGUUUGGAUCACAAAUCCAGAAAGUCACUGCGAUACGGCUGCGUCGCUUUAAUAUUUCCAUUUGCAUGCUCACUGCGUUGCGGUAAGGGAAAUGGAUGACUUCAAUUAGACCGCGUUGCGGUAAGUAUGUUAUGCCCAGUUAUGAAUUUAAUUGCCUGAGGGGAAAUUGUGUCUGUUCCCCUCAACCCAAAUCAUGCAUAACACGAAUUGAGACAUCAUUUAGAGCAUUAUUUGCCCUUCUUCUCUAAAUCCAUCUCAAGAAAACCCUUCCCACUUUCUCAAAAUCACCAAUUUCAAUUUUUUUCUCCCUAAAAAACCAAGGAACUCAAGCUUCAAAUUCAAGAAACCCUCAAGAAAUCUUCAAGAAAUCAUCUAUUAAGGUAUGUGGAUGUUCAUUCAUGGGUUUCUUUCCUAGGCCAUUAUCCUCUUAUUCUACAGCUAGUGCCCCACCACAGUUCCAAGGGUUCAGAGGAAAUCAAUUUGGGCACAGAAGUGAGAGUCAGAGUUCGCGGACAGUGGGGUACCAAGGUCAAGGGAAUAUGAGCCAAUCAAGACCUCCUCGAGAGCCAUGCAAUAAAUGUGGAAGGUAUCAUUUGGGCGCAUGUCGGCUGGGGACCAAUGUUUGCUUUUGGUGCGGUAUGUCGGGGCAUAUGAUGAGGGAAUGCCCACGAAGGGACAUAGGGGGUAUGGCACGACCUACGGGGUCAUUUGUUGCAUCAUCAUCAUCGAUGCCUUAUUCAGGAAGGGGUGCACAGCCAAUGGGUCGUGUUAGAGGUGAUAGAGGAGCCACGAGUUCUAGCGGGGCUCAAAAUCGUACGUAUGCUCUAGCAGAUCGACAGAAUUUAGAGGCUUCUCCAGAUGUGGUUACGGGUAUGUUGGCUAUAUUUUCAUUCAAUUUAUAUGCCUUAAUUGAUCCCGGUUCUACAUUAUCUUAUGUUACUCCAUUGGUUGCUGGAAAGUUCGAAAGAAUACCCGAACUGUUAGUUAAGCCAUUUGAAGUGUCCACACCGGUCGGGGAAUCUAUUAUAGCUAGAAGGGUUUAUCGAAACUGCAUAGUAACUGUUUGUGGUCGUGAUACGAUGGCUGAUCUUGUGGAGUUAGAAAUGGUAGAUUUUGAUGUUAUAAUGGGUAUGGACUGGUUGGCGUCUUGUUAUGCCACAAUUGAUUGCUGCACGAAAAAGGUAUAUUUCCAUUUUCCAAAUGAAUCAGUCCUUGAAUGGAAAGGUGAAAUUAGCGUGCCAAGAGGUAGAUUUAUUUCUUAUUUUAAGGCGAGAAGAAUGAUUUCCAAGGGAUAUAUAUAUCAUUUAGUUAGAGUAAGGGAUACAGAAGCGGAGCCACCAACUCUUCACGCUGUUCCGGUGGUAAAUGAAUUUUCUGAUGUAUUUCCUGAAGAUCUUCCAGGUUUGCCUCCUGAACGAGAAGUAGAGUUUGGUAUUGAUGUAAUACCAGGCACCCAACCAAUCUCCAUUCCUCCGUAUAGAAUGGCCCCAGCAGAAUUACGAGAAUUGAAAGAGCAAUUGAAAGAUUUGCUAGAAAAGGGGUUCAUUAGGCCUAGUAUUUCCCCUUGGGGAGCACCAGUGUUAUUUGUACGCAAAAAGGAUGGCUCGCUGAGGAUGUGUAUUGAUUAUCGGCAAUUGAAUAAGGUGACUAUUAAGAAUAAAUAUCCUCUCCCAAGAAUUGAUGAUUUAUUUGAUCAGUUACAGGGCGCCAAGUGCUUUUCUAAGAUUGAUUUGAGGUCAGGUUACCACCAAGUGAGGGUCAAAGAAAAAGAUAUACCCAAAACAGCUUUCCGAACAAGGUAUGGUCAUUAUGAGUUUCUAGUUAUGUCAUUUGGGCUAACAAAUGCACCCGCAGCUUUUAUGGAUUUGAUGAAUAGGGUUUUUAAGCCAUUCCUGGAUGUAUUUGUGAUAGUUUUUAUAGAUGAUAUUCUAGUUUAUUCUAGAUCAGAAGAGGACCAUGCCAAUCACUUACGACAGGCAUUGCAGACUCUUCGUGAUUGUAAGCUUUAUGCAAAGUUCUCUAAAUGUGAGUUUUGGUUAAAGUCGGUGGCAUUUUUGGGUCAUAUUGUAUCUAGUGAAGGGAUAAAGGUUGAUGCUCAAAAGAUAGAGGCUGUGAAGAACUGGCCAAGGCCCACAACGCCUACGGAGAUUCGUAGUUUUCUUGGGUUGGCCGGUUAUUAUAGAAGGUUUGUCAAAGACUUUUCUUCCAUUUCAGCACCCUUAACCAAGCUAACCCAUAAAGCAUCCAAAUUCCAAUGGAAUGAUGCCUGUGAGAAGAGUUUUCAAGAUUUAAAGAACAAGUUGAUUUCUACACCCGUGUUGGUACUACCAGAAGGCACCGAAGGGUAUACAGUGUAUUGUGAUGCUUCCAGAAUUGGUUUAGGAUGUGUAUUGAUGCAGCAUGGUAAGGUAAUAGCAUAUGCUUCUAGACAAUUACGGCCACAUGAGAAAAAUUAUCCUACACACGAUCUUGAGCUGGCAGCGGUUAUUUUUGCUUUAAAGAUAUGGCGCCACUACUUAUAUGGGGUUCACGUUGAUAUAUAUACUGACCAUAAGAGCUUGCAAUAUAUUUUUAAUCAGAAGGAUCUAAAUUUAAGGCAGCGGAGAUGGCUUGAACUAUUAAAGGACUAUGAUGUUGAUAUCUUGUACCAUCCAGGGAAAGCAAAUGUGGUAGCUGAUGCGUUAAGUCGUAAGGCUAUGAUGGCGCCUAUAGAAAGGCAAGGGAUGGUUAAAGAUCUUCACCAGUUAGCUAGUUUGGGAGUUCGCCUUCUUGAAACUCCGAAUAAAGAGCUUAUCGUACAUAAUGCUGCGGAAUCUUCAUUAGUAGCUGAAGUGAAAGAGAAGCAAUAUGCAGAUCCUAUUUUAUUACAUCUUAAGGAGAACGUUCAGAGUGGUGCGACCAAGGCAUUUGAGCUUACGCGAGAAGGAGUACUUCAGUGCCAAAACCGAUUGUGUGUGCCGGAUAUAGACGGGCUAAGAAAGAAGAUUAUGACAGAGGCACAUUUUUCAAGGUAUUCCAUUCAUCCAGGAUCAACCAAAAUGUAUCAAGAUUUGAAAGAUAUGUAUUGGUGGAAUGACAUGAAGAAGAGCAUUGCAGAAUUUGUAGCUGAAUGUCCAAAUUGUCAAAGAGUUAAAGUUGAGCACCAAAAACCCGGAGGCUAUAUGCAAUGCAUAGAUCUUCCAAUUUGGAAGUGGGACAUGAUCAACAUGGAUUUUGUUACAGGUUUGCCUCGUACAGCUCGAAAAUUUGAUUCUAUAUGGGUGAUUGUGGAUAGGCUUACUAAAUCCGCACAUUUCUUACCCGUUAAGACCACUUACACAGUUGAAGAAUAUUCGAAGCUGUAUGUUAAAGAAAUAGUCCGAUUACAUGGAGUGCCAACUUCUAUUAUAUCGGAUCGGGGAACUCAAUUUACUGCAAACUUUUGGAAGUCUUUCCAACGGGGUUUGGGAACACAAGUGAAUCUGAGUACAGCUUUUCACCCUCAGACGGAUGGACAAGCAGAGCGCACCAUUCAAACACUUGAAGAUAUGCUACGAGCAUGUGUUAUAGAUUUUAAAGGCAGCUGGGAUGAUCAUUUACCUCUUAUUGAGUUUGCCUACAAUAAUAGCUAUCAUUCAAGUAUCAAAAUGGCACCAUAUGAAGCUUUAUAUGGGAGAAAGUGUAGAUCACCAAUAGGAUGGUUCGAAGCGGGUGAAACUCUUAUGUUCGGACCGGAUCUUGUGUAUCAAGCCAUAGAAAAAGUCAAGGUGAUACAACAACGGCUAAAAACAGCCCAAAGUCGUCAUAAAUCAUAUGCAGAUAUUCGGAGAAGAGGGCUGGAAUUCUCUAUUGGAGAUUGGGUAUUUUUAAAGGUAUCACCAAUGAAAGGGGUUAUGAGAUUUGGUAAAAAAGGGAAACUAAGCCCACGUUACAUAGGGCCAUAUAAGAUUACCAAGAGGGUCGGACAAGUUGCAUAUGAAUUAGAGCUACCCCAGGAACUUUCAAUGGUUCAUCCAGUGUUUCAUGUGUCAAUGCUUCGAAAAUGCAUAGGUGACCCCUCUCGUAUCACUCCUAUAGAAGAUGUACAGGUCACAGAGGAUCUUACUUAUGAAGAGGUACCGGUUGCUAUUCUAGAUCGCCAAGUUAAAAAGUUAAGGAACAAAGAAAUGGCAUCAGUAAAGGUACUUUGGAGAAAUCAACAAAGGGAAGAGAUUACAUGGGAAGCUGAGGAAGCAAUGAAAUCUAAGUACCCUCAUUUGUUCAAAGAUGAAGAGGAAGUUCAAGAAACGGAGUUAGAACAUUAACAAGUAAGUUUUUGUUUAUAUAUGCAUAGUAUUUAUGUGAUGAUGUGAAUGUUAAUGGUGGACUUGAACUUGUUUCGGCUAAAUAACUACAUUCACAUUCGAGGACGAAUGUCCUUAAGGGGGGAAGGAUGUAACACCCCGUACUUAAUUACGUGCAUUAGUCAUUGUUAUAUGUGUUGGGGUAUAUGUAUUGAUCCUAAGUUAGGUAUAUAUGAGUUUAAGUAUGAGUAUUGAUUAUUUUGAGAUGGUUUCAAGUGUAUAGUUUGAUUAUAGGUGUAUAGGAAUCGACUUUAUUUAUAUCGGAAUUUUCCCGUCGAUGGUUCCAUACGAAGGUUAUUGAAUAAGCUUUCCAACGAUAUAAAGAUUUCCAAAAACGGAUAAGUUUCGGAUAUAAGCGAGCUCGUUCGAAACUUUAAAACGGUGGCCGGGAUGUGAACAGUAAAAUGUGCAGGAAACUACUGAGGCCUGCCAGUUUUUUGGGUCAACUUUGAACGAUCAUAACUCCCUCAAUAUAAUGAACUGGUUGAGCUACCAUAUAUCAAAAGAAAGAUCUUUGAGUCUUCUUUCCAAUGAAAUUGGUUUCAUCCAAAUCCAACAUCUGAGUAAGGAGUUAUACUCGUUUUACUUCAGCCUCUCAAAACAGAUUUUUAGGGUCAACUUCAAACGAUCAUAACUACUUGUACAGGACGAACUGGGUGGAUUAAUUUAUAUUAAAUGAAAGACCUUUGAAUUAUCUUUCUAACGAUACCAAUUUCACCCAAAUCCGAUAUCGGAGCAAAGAGUUAUGGCCGAUUUACUUUAGCCUAUCAAAACAGUCCACCAUGGACAGAUUCGGAUUUACUUAAAUUUUUAAGGGCAAUAUGGUCAUUUUCCAUCACCUCAUGGACGAAAAUUGGUCAUUAUAUACAUAUACUUAGCCUUAUAUCCACCAUUUAUCAUCCAAAUCAUUGAAGAAUAAGAAACCCUAGCCUAAGUUCAACUCCAAUUAUCUUGUGAUUCAACCGUAGAAAAUCCAAAUUGAUUCCGUAGUUGUGUUCACCGUCUCAAGGGCUUCGAGAAGCACCCCUUAUUUGUGCCAACAGGACUUCGAAAUCAAAAGGGCCAUUUUUUUGGUAAGGAUGUAAAUUAUGUUGGUGUUAUUUAUAUGGAUAUGUAUAUAUAUAUAUAUAUGCAUGUGAGCAUAAGAAGUAUGUUAUUUGAUUGUUGUUGAAAGAUGAUUGGAAAUGAUGUUGGAUUAUUCUUGUGCAUGGUUGGAUUAUGUUAAAUUGUGAAGGAAUUUGGGGUGAUGAUGUGGUAUUGAUGAUGUGGUAUUGAAAUGAUGAUUAUAUAUAUAUACACACAUAAACCUAUUGUUCAAGUUGGUUUUUGGAAUGUUUUGCAAAUAUUGGUAGUAUGGAAUUAUGGAAGAGAAUUGUGGUGUUGGGUUGCUAAUACUAGAUGCCAAACAUUUCAUUGUAGAUAAGUGAUUUGUAAAGGCGGGAAGUUGUGUUGAAUUGGUAUCCGAAUCUACAACGAGGUAUGUAAAGCAUACUCUAACAAUGUUCUUUGGCAUGAAAACACCAAUGUUCCAUCAAGUAAGAUUCCGAGGUUGUCCAAAAACAUGUAUUGUUCUACGUUACCAACGAAGUUGUUUCCAUUCUAUAAAGUGUCAAAAUGUUUCAUUGAUAUACCAAAAGGCUCUUAUUUCAUUGUUGUGAUAUUGAUGAUUCUGAAACACAUUGUUGAUGUACCAAUGAGUCUUUAUUACAUCGUUAUUGUAUAGAAGGUCUAUUACUUGGUUCCUAUUGAUGUAUCAUUGUUUCAAAGUAUCAAAAAUGUGGUGGCGACCGAAAUAACAAUCUCAAAGAUUAAUUGAACUAAGUGAUGGAAGUUCUCUCUUAUCGGGUGGUAUCCCAGGGGCAUAAGCCUAGCAUGGGUCGAUCCCUAUUUAUGUGUUUAUGGGUGGUAUCCCAGGGGCAUAAGCCUAGCAUGGGUCGAUCCCAGUUGAUAUGUACUGGAGGCAUCCUAAUGGUCACAGUACAGUACAGUAAUGAUUACAAAGACGAUAAGAACGAAGGUAAAGUGAUUGAAUAAAUACAAUGUACAGGUUGUCACAAGUUCUAGUAAGUGUGGUCCACUCCUAUUACGACUUAUUCACUUGUUUCUGAUUUCUAUUGAGCUCCUAUAUCAUAUGUGAUUAUUUACAGCUUUACAUACUCAGUACAUAUUUCGUACUGACGUCCCUCACGGGGGACCUGCAUUUCAUGCUGCAGGCACAGGUACCUCAGCUCAUACACCGCACAAGUAGGAGCCAGGUCAUACAGCUAUUGUUGGUGAGCUCCAGUUUGCUUCGGAGCUUUCCGAGUCGGUUCCUUAUGUUUUGUUAUUGUACAUGAGUCAUGUGUGGGCGGGGGUUUGUCCCGACCCUAGUUAUGUCAUGUAUAUCCUAGAGGCUUUGUAGACAUAAGGAAGGGUAAAGUCAUGGAAGUUUAUAUAGUGAUGUUAUAUCUGUAUAUGUGGUGGCCCCGACGGCCAAGUAUUAUAUAUAUAUAUAUAUUUGCGCGUGUUGUGCUGAUACAGGUAAUUAGAUCCUUCUAUAUGCAACGAAGUGCUGUCCAAUUUUUGGUGACAUGUAAGUGAAAGUACAGGUAUUUGAACGGGUUCUCCCGGGCCUUCUCGGCUUCGGGUGCCAGUCCGGCCCCGAUGGGAUUUUGGGGCGUGACAGCUAACCACUUACUUCAUUCAUUUGGCUUGUGACCACACAUACACCUUAUAUAGUUUUCCAGACACUUGUUGACCCUCCCAGUCUGUCCAUCAGUCUGAGGGUGGUAUGCUGAGCUAAACUUGAGUUCAGUACCCAGGCCUUUGAACAAUUCCUUCCAAAACAAACUAAGGAAAAUCUUAUCUCUAUCACUCACUAUUGUAGUAGGCAACCCAUGCAACUUAUACACAUUUGUCAUGAAUAGUUUGGCUACUUGGACAGCAUUGAAAGGAUGAGUUAGUGACAAGAAGUGUGCAUAUUUACUAAAUCGAUCCACAAUGACAAAGAUUGUGUCCUUUGCUUCUGAAUUGGGCAAACCUUCAUUAAAAUCCAUAGUGAUGUGCUCCCAGAGUCUUAAUGGUAUGGAAAGAGGUUGUAGUAAACCUGGGUAUGCAAGUUGUUCAUCCUUACUUCUUUGACAUAUAUCACAUUCUAAUAUAACCUUCUGCACAUCUUUUAUCAUAGAAGGCCAGUAAAAAAUAAGUUUCAUCCUUUGAAGAGAAGAUGAAACAUUAGAGUGCCCCCCUAAACCGGAGUCAUGCACUUGUUGCGCCAGUUGUUGCCUCGGUCCAUUGCCAGUUCUUACCCAAAUUUUUCCCUUGAACCUCGGCAGACCAUUAUGUAUGGCAAUAUUGUUCAUAAUAGUAGGAUCCACAUGGGUUUGGGCUAGUAAUUGAGCAACUUCCUGGUCACCUUCAUAGCUGCUCAAGAUCUCCUCCAUCCACUUAGGUUGCACUUGACUCAAAGUAUUGCAUUCAGCUUCAGUGUAAGCUUUGGACAGUGCAUCAGCAACAGUAUUCUUUACCCCUUUUUUAUAGUGUAUUUCAUAACUUAAUCCCAUUAGCUUAGUUAGACCUUUGUGCUGCAAUGAAGUUGAGAUUUUCUGGUCCUGCAAAAACUUAAGGCUGAAAUGGUCAAUUUUAAUAAUAAAAUGGUGAGGGUGGAGGUAGUGUCUCCAUCUCUCUACUGCCCAAAGCAAGGCAAUCAACUUUUUUUCAUAAGUUGAUAAGCAUUGGUUCUUGUUCCUAAGUACUUGGCUGAGAUAAGCAAUUGGUUGCUUUUCUUGCAUAAGGACAACCCCAAUUCCAGUACCACAUGCAUCCACCUCCACAAUAAAGGGUUUCUCAAAGUCCGAUAAAACCAAAACAGGAACAGUGGUCAUGGCAGUCUUCAGGUUUUGAAAUGCUUUAGAAGCUUCUUCGUUCCACGCAAAGGCUCUCUUCUUGAGUAUGGAUGUUAAAGGUUUGCUGAUCACUGCAUAACCUUUAACAAACUUCCUGUAAUACCCAGUAAGUCCUAGGAAGCCCCUAAGUUCCUUGAUCGUUCUACGUUCAGGCCACUCAACCAUUGCUGAAAUCUUGUUUGGAUCAGUUCUUACCCCUUCAACAGAGAUAAUAUGCCCCAGGUAUUCUACUUGUUUUUGUGCAAAUUCACACUUUGAUCUUUUAGAAAACAAUUGGUGCUCUUUUAGUAAUUGUAAGACAACCUGCAAAUGCUUCAAGUGAUCCUUUAAUGAUGCAAUGUAAAUUAAAAUGUCAUAAAAAAGACUAAUAUGAACUUCCUGAUGUGUGGCUCAAAUACUUGAUACAUUAAAGAUUGAAAAGUAGCAGGAGUAUUUGUAAGGCCAAAGGGCAUAACCAUGAAUUUCCAUAGACCAUGAUGUGUUCUAAAUGUUGUCUUUUGUUCAUCCUCCUCUUUCAUCCUCACUUGGUGAUAUCCUGACCUAAGGUCUACCUUAGAGAACACCUUAGAUCCUUUUAACUCAUCCAACAGAUCCUCUACCAUGGGAAUUGGAUACUUGUUUUUUAUUGUUAAUGAAUUCAGUCUCCUAUAAUCUACACAUAAUCUCCAAGUACAAUUUUUAUUCUUCACUAGUAAUGCAGGGGAUGCAAAACAAGAAUGGCUUGGCACCACGGUUUGAGAAAUCAACAUAUCAUUAAUAAUUUUCUCAAUUGCAUUCUUUUGGUCAAAUGAGUACCUAUAUGGUCUUAAGCUGAAAGACUGAGCUCCACCUUGUAAUGGAAUUAAGUGGUCACAAGUUCUGUGGGGUGGAAAUUCCUGAGGUUCCUCAAACACCUUCUGGAAUGAUUGAAGUAGAGAAUGAACUUCCUGUGGGCAAUUCUUGUGCAUUGUUCCUUCUUGGCUGGACUCCAAGGUGCACACAACUGAAACAUCACCAAAUUUCUGCUUGUUCAAUAGUUUAAGUAAUUUCUCCCCUUCAGUAGGUAAUACUUUGUGUUCCUCGUGAAACCCAAACAAUGUGACCAAUCUUUCUUCCUUGAAAAAUGACAAACUAUGGGGCCUAGUAUUGAUCACCACUGGUGCAAAAGAAUCCACCCAAUCCAUCCCUAACACCAUAUCAAAACUACCAACCUUCAUAAGUCGUAUGUCACCUUGGAAGGACUCCUCUUGCAUCUGCCACUUGAAAUUAGGGCAAUAACUAUCCGUGUACAUGACUUGCCCAUUAGCUACUGUCACUUUCAGCUUAGCAUAACAAGGUUGUAUGGGUAAUUUCAAAAUUUUGAUAACCUGUGAACUUACAAAACUAUGGGUUGAUCCACUAUCAAUCAAGAUCAUGAGAGGUACUUUCCUAGCAUACCCUAAAAUCUUGAUAGUGGAGGCUGAACUAGUUAAUCCAACAGCCACACACAACGACAAUUCCCCUUCUUCCUCUACCACUGGUAACCUUCAGUAGAAGGUUCAACCUUAUCACUACUAUUUUCUCCUUCAUCUAGCAUCAUAUUUUGUGCCUCAAUUCCUGUCUCAUUACCCUCCCAAGUAAUGGCAUGAAUAGUCUUAGGUUUACAAACAUGACCAGGAAAACAAGGGUCAUGACACCUGAAACACAAAUUUUGUUCCUUUAGAUUUUCAGUAAUGGGUUUUGGUUUGAAGGGAACUCUAGUUUUCGGGGCCAGAGUUCUGUUGUUUUGGUAUUGAUUAGGGGCAAAAGUUUUGUGGAACGGGGAUGGAUUAGAAGUUCCCUGGAAAGGAACAGGGGUUUUGGAAAGGUUAAUUUGGUGUUGCGAAUUUUGGGAAGUUCUUAGGUUAAUGGCUUUUUGAAGGGCUUUAAAAGAAGUUUCAUAAGACUUGGCUGACUCAUAUGCAACUAUGGUAGUAGUAGGAUUACUUAGCCCCAUCAAAGGUUUCAAUUCAGGUUUCAAACCACUCACAUAACUAGCAAUUAAGUGAGUUUCAUUCAACAAUAGAUUCAGCAACAACAUAUAAGUUUUCAAUUCCUCAAACUUCUCGUGAUAACUAUCAACACUACCAGUUUGCUUAUGGUUAUUAAACUCAUCUACAAUAUCCAAUGGUCUCACAUUCCCAAAUUGCCUACAGACUUCAUUACAGAAAAACAACCAGUUGGUUUCACGAUUCUCUAAAACAUGACUAUCAAACCAAACAUCGGCCUGAUCCUUUAUAUGUACUGCAACGUAACACAUCUUUUCUGCCUCCGGGAUUUGGUAUAUUUCAAAAAACUGCUCAUAUUUGCGAAUCCAACCCUUGGGGUUAAAGCCUGUGAAUUCAGGAAAAUUAAUCUUAGCUUUAAAGGGUUUGUUCGGCAUUUCUGGAAGGUUAUUGUUCGAUAAUGGAAGUAAUGGAGAGUUAACGGGUAUUUGGUUGUUAACAGACAUAGGAAUAGUAGUAGGAAUUGGUAGUGUUUUGAGUAAGGGAACAGUAGAAGUGAUCAAGGAAGAAGAAAGAGUGGGGUUUUGAAGCAGGGGAUUGCCCUAAGAAGAAAACAUGGGAGGAAAUGUGAAACCUCUCCCCACAGGGUAACUACUAGGGGUCGAUUGGGGGGUUAUUUGAGCUUGAGAGCUUGAAGACUGGCCUGACUCAUGAAUUUGCAACGAACCUUGAAGUCUCGAAGCCAUCGAACUUGGGGAGUGAGGAAUCUGAGCUGCAACCUCAGCUCGUUUAAAAGUAUCAAGUUUUGAGAUAAUCAUUUCCAGUCGCUGGUUCAUUGCUACAGUCUCCUUAAGCUGAGUGGAGAACUGAUUUUGAGAGGAUUCCAAGGCUUCGAACCUCUUUGUAUUUUUCGUAGCCAUCGAAUAGAGUUGGGUUUCGACCUUUUUUAUGCCUUCUUCGAGGCCCUUAAAUUUAUCCGCCAUGAAAUUGCCACGAGAACCUAACGUCUCUGAUACCAAUGUCACGAUUACAGUAGUUACAAAACCUAAUCGCGAAGAAGAGAAUUGCAAAGAGGAAUAAAAGAAGAGAGAAAGAGGGAAGAAAGAGAGAUAGGUAAAUAGAGUGAUAAUAUUCAUUGCCUCAGAUAAUCCAGUACAAUAGCUAAUAAAGCCAACCAAGAGUAUGACUAGGUGACACGUGUCCAGCUGAUAAUAAGACAGCAAUUACUAGACACUACUAAAAACUUGAAGGAUUAUAAUGACAUAGAAAAAUUAUACUAAAUCUUAAACAGCUAAUUAACGGUCAUUUCAUGACAAUAUGAAACCCCACACGUGAAGUUUGAAAAGGGUGGAGUGUAUGAAACCUUUGUCUUACCUUAUGAGGGUAGAAAGGU